This 58119-nucleotide long non-coding RNA is filed under the name Brachypodium distachyon (stiff brome). RNAcentral's name for it is "long non-coding RNA (BDIS_LNC005435)". The stretch from base 4718 to 4844 matches the Rfam family "MIR1120/MIR1122 microRNA precursor family". Lineage: Eukaryota; Viridiplantae; Streptophyta; Magnoliopsida; Poales; Poaceae. The record is from RNAcentral.
UGGGUGCAGAUCAACAAGCAGAAGCCCAUCUGGCUCCGCAAGCCGGAGGAGAUCAGCAAGGAGGAGUACGCGUCCUUCUACAAGAGCCUCACCAACGACUGGGAGGACCAUCUCGCCGUGAAGCACUUCUCCGUGGAGGGCCAGCUGGAGUUCAAGGCCGUGCUCUUCGUGCCCCGCCGCGCCCCCUUCGACCUCUUCGACACCCGCAAGAAGAUGAACAACAUCAAGCUCUACGUGCGCCGCGUCUUCAUCAUGGACAACUGCGAGGAGCUGAUCCCGGAGUGGCUGGGCUUCGUCAAGGGCGUGGUGGACUCCGACGACCUCCCCCUCAACAUCUCCAGGGAGACCCUGCAGCAGAACAAGAUCCUCAAGGUGAUCCGCAAGAACCUGGUGAAGAAGUGCAUCGAGCUCUUCUUCGAGAUCGCCGAGAACAAGGAGGACUACACCAAGUUCUACGAGGCCUUCUCCAAGAACCUGAAGCUGGGCGUGCACGAGGACUCGCAGAACCGCGCCAAGCUCGCCGACCUGCUCCGGUACCACUCCACCAAGAGCGGCGACGAGACGACGAGCCUCAAGGACUACGUGACCCGGAUGAAGGAAGGGCAGAAGGACAUCUACUACAUCACCGGCGAGAGCAAGAAGGCGGUGGAGAACUCGCCGUUCCUGGAGCGGCUCAAGAAGCGCGGCUACGAGGUGCUCUUCAUGGUGGACGCCAUCGACGAGUACGCCGUCGGGCAGCUCAAGGAGUACGACGGCAAGAAGCUCGUCUCCGCCACCAAGGAAGGGCUCAAGCUGGAAGAGGAGACCGAGGAAGAGAAGAAGCGGCGGGAGGAGAAGAAGGCGGCGUUCGAGGGGCUCUGCAAGACCAUCAAGGACAUCCUGGGCGACCGCGUGGAGAAGGUGGUCGUCUCGGAGCGCAUCGUGGACUCGCCGUGCUGCCUGGUCACCGGCGAGUACGGGUGGACGGCCAACAUGGAGCGGAUCAUGAAGGCGCAGGCGCUGCGGGACAGCAGCAUGGGAGCCUACAUGUCGAGCAAGAAGACGAUGGAGAUCAACCCGGAGAACGGCAUCAUGGAGGAGCUGAGGAAGCGGGCGGAGGCGGACAAGAACGACAAGUCGGUCAAGGACCUGGUGCUGCUGCUCUUCGAGACGGCGCUGCUCACCUCCGGGUUCAGCCUCGACGACCCCAACAUGUUCGCCGCCAGGAUCCACAGGAUGCUCAGGCUCGGGCUCAACAUUGAUGAGGAGGCCGCUGCGGAGGAUGACGCCGACAUGCCGGCCCUGGAGGAGGAGGGCGCCGAGGAGAGCAAGAUGGAGGAGGUCGACUGAAGAAGAAAAAGAUGCAGAGUACUCGAGUCGUUGCGAGUUGAGGUUCAGAGUUGGUCGCUGUCUCUCAGAGAGUUGUCUUCAGUGUCGUCAUGUCGAUUUGAGUCGAGUCGAUGUGUGAAAUUGUGUCUGAAACUGAAGGUUCGAUCUAGUCUUUUGCAAUGAUCAUCUGCUUGUCUAGUGAACAUUUUAAGUGAUCCAAAGGCUCGGGCCAUCUUUCGCGACCCGGCCAUACGGCUUGGGGCAAGUAUUCUCCGGUUCCCUCCCAACAGCAGCCGGUUUGAUUCAAGUUGACGUAGAUUUUUUUUGUUCACCUGAACAUAUGACCAUUUCAGAAACAGUUUUCUGAAGAAUUAUACUGAACCUGCACAGUCACAAAGUCACAGUUACCUUUUUUUUUUUUGCGAGCACACAGUGAGCACCGGCACGCGAGAAAGAGAAGAAAAGGUCGCGAGAUGGGCCCCCGUGAAAGGCGGAGCUCGGCUUGGGCCUGAAGCACACCUAAAGCGCAGCCCACCAGUUAGCCCACUGCGGGCCUCCCUAGCCCGGCAUACGAAUGGAAAUCGCACACAGACCGCAGCAGCCCGCCGCCGCCGGCCGCCGCAGCUACCCCCCCACCGUCCUUCGCUCGCCUCUCCCGCAGCGCUAGGUCACGGCCUCGCCGUGAAGCCGCCUGACUGUCUCCCCGACUCACACGACUCAGCCGCCAAUUCUCCAAGCUCCAGCAGGCAGCCCCUCCGGCAGGGGGCCGUCCCCAUGCCGUGACCCUCCCGGACUCCCUCACUCCCACAGACCGUCCCCAUGUCGCCUCUCCGGCAGGCGGGCCGCGCUCUACUCCUCCCGGCGCCGGCAGCCCCGUCCGUGUCGAGCUCCCGCUCGCGCCUCCAGCAAUGGGAGUACUUCCCCGGGCUUCCUUUUGCCGGAGGGCAGCGCCACGAAUCCCUCUUCUCUCCCAGCCGCCAUUGUCGCCUGCCUCUCGGCUGGGCUGGCCUCAGCGCUCGGAUGCUUUCGACUUGUCUCGGUAAGGGCCCCAGGCUUGCGGAUUCGUUUGUUGUGUGCUAGACUGGUAGUCGGAUCCCAUCAGCUCAAAUUCGUAACCGCUGUUUCUAGGCUGGUGACCUGGUUCUACUAAUCACUAUGCUUGCAGUAUGAUUGUGUUGGUGCCGAUACUAAACAGGAAGCAAUAUGAAAAUCCGAUCACAUUCGUGUGCCUGUCAGCUGGCGGUAGACUGUGAUUUCCUUCCAUUUGGAAUAUAUAACGUGUACGAAUUUGAUAUUCUAUGGUUGCUAAAUUUGAUUAUGAGAAGCUCCAUUGUGAAUUGUACCCACGGUUUUUUAUUGUAGCCUACAAGUCAGGUGGUUCUUUGUGUAACCAAUGUUCCUUUGACUGCAGAGCAUCAGGAUUUUACAUGGAGUAGUAGUUUGGGUGCUAGAAUGGCGCAAAUGGAUAUUGUGAAUGCUCUUCGUAAAGGUGAUCGGCAGCGAGCAUCUGUUAUGCUCUCGAAUCUUCGACGAACCAAAGAAGCAUUAACUUCAGAAGAUAUUUCUGAUAUAUUGGAGUACUGUGCAGAAGCACCUGAUCCUUUGGUAAAUCUACUGUCAGAUGUAUAUUGUGCUAAAGCAGAGUGUGUGGUAUAGUCAUUUUGAUUAGAGCUCUUUUUGGUGCUUUUACAAUAUGUCUAGUUUGUUAUGGAAACUUUGGAGCUCAUGGAGGAGAAUGCCAUUGGUCUUAGUAAAAACAACUAUAGAUCUGUCACUCGAGCACUCAGCAAAGGAGGGCAUAUGAAGGAGGUACGCCAUACUUCUCAUAAUCCAAGUGAAUUUUUGUCUUUGUAACGUUAGAUGGUUUGGGAGUAUAAUUAUAUGAGUGCACUUGUAAAACUGCUUUAAAUAGAGCAUUAUUUGCAGCAAUAUACCGUUUCUUCUGUGCAAAAUUUUCAAAUUUCCAUAUCUUAGUGAUACUAGCUAGUUGAAAUGUCAAUACCAAUGCACUUCUGCGUAACACUAAGCUUCGUGCCACUAGGCAAGGCAGUUUUCACUUUUCAGGGUACAUGUGCCAGUAUCUAUUUAAGUUUGUGCAUGGGCAUGCCCACAAAUAGUUGCGUCCUCACUCAUGUUUAUAGAAAAAUAUCUACAUGUAGACCUUGAAGUUCUGCCGUUGUCUACUUUCUGCCUAAAACUUCAAAACGGUGUAUGAGUAACGCUGAAAGCUCACCAUCUGCUCAAUCCCCUAGUGAUGUGGUAAGCACAUGGCGUCCAAGCCAUCCAAAACUGCUCAUUUGGUGGAUAUUAUAUGAUGACGACAGUCUGCUUUUAGGUAGUUUGGAAGUUUUAAGACAAAAAUCAGACAAAGGCCGAAUUUCUGGGAUUUAAAAGUGGACUUAUUCGUUUAUUAUACUAUAACUGCGGGUGGUGAAUCAGAAAAUGGGCUGUACCUUCUGCACAAGUAUUUUUGCUAUUCCACAAGAUUAAUGAUGUUUAAAGAAGUUCGACGUAUUUUUUAUAAAAAUAUGUAUAACUACCGCAUGCUGUACUGUUCCAGAAACAAGAUAUGCAUAUAUGUUUUUGCCCUAGAUGCACUCUUAAUGAUCUAUUAUUCUGUCUCUUUUGCAAUGAACUGUUUUGAUGGAAAAGCAAGUUGUUUUGUUCAACUUUUCUUUCUUUUCUUCUAGAUACACCCUGCAGUUCUUUGUAAUUUAAUUUCUUGCGUUUCUGCUCUUUUAUCAUAUGUUUAUCUGUUUAUUGAAUAAUCCCUUAUAGCAUAUCAGUUUUUGCAGGAGAUCUGAUAGCUCCUUGCUGUCUACAAGUUGUUCACAAUCCUCUUUCCAAUGUAGGCACUUAAUUGGCUCAACUCUCUGGGGGGAAAAGAAAGCACUCACAGUCCCUUGCCGAUCUUCAACAUCUUUUUAAGUGCCUGUGCAAGCAUCAGAAAUCUGAAUGAUGCUGAAAGCUGUCUAGAGACAAUGGGAAUUCAUCUUGUUGGGAAGUCUGAAAUAACAUACUGUGAGCUUCUAAAGGUUUGUAUGAACAAAUAUUCAAUAUGCCUAUUGAUGAUCUUCAGAAAAGUUCAUUUUAAUAUAUGGACAAAUAUUUAGUUCAUCACACUUACCUGUUGUGGCUGCAACAAUGAGAAGACAUACCCAUCCAUAUAUUGCUAGCUAUUGGUCCUUGUUUUCUAAAUUAACAUCUGAUUGCCUUUAUUUCUAUUUUUUUCCUCUUUUGGUCCAUCAACUGUAACCAUCUCUUGGUUUGUGACCUUUUUGUUGGGCGCUCUUGCAUGUUGAUUUUAGUUCUUUAUGCUGUAAAAACUGAAACAUGCCUGUUCCUUCUCUGUAUUUCAUGUUUUGGGCAUCUCUUGUUUAGAAAUUCCUUUUGUUGCAUGUAUUGUUGUACUAUACUCCCUCCGUCUCAUAUUAAGUGACUUUCUAUUGCAUGUAUCUAGAUGCUUUUUAGGCAUAGAUACAUCCAUAUUUUGGGCAAUUUUGAGUCACUUAAUAUGGGACGGAGGGAGGUACUUGUUUCUUGGGAUACAUCAGCUCUUAUCACAUAUGUUUUACUUGCUAUGCUGAUUAAAAUAUGUUAAAAUGUUCCAUUUUAGAUCUAAUAUUGUGACAGCUUGCUUAUUUGGUUGUAUUAUCGUCUUUAGCUUGCAGUUUUUCAGAGAAAUUUGUCUGCAGUGAAUGAUUUAUGGAAGGACUGCAAUAAGUAUUAUAGUCCAAGCAUUAUUAUUCAAAGGAAAUUUUUAUGGGCUUUCUCUACACUGGGGGACCUUCAAUCUGCAUAUCAAAUCUUGCAGCGCAUGGUAGUUCUUGCUGGUGAAAGCCCUGACCAUCUGAGGGUGUCUUGUAAAAGGAGAUACCAAUCAACAAGAUUAGACAUUCCUGUACCUGCUUUGAAUGAAGUAGAAGAUCUGAAGCUUGUAUUGGACUCUGACCUGCCAUCAUCAUUUGAAGGGAAGGUGGCUACCAGAGGAGAUCCGAUUGAUGCCCAGCCAGAGCUGUUACAGGUGGAAACUCAAUCAUCAAAACAUGAGCAAUUGGAGGGUUAUGUGGCAUUUCUUUCUGCUGGUCUGUUCUGCAUUCUAAUUUCAUAAGCUAUGCACUAUUCUUGUCAGCUCAGUUAUAGAAAUUUACUUUCAGUCUUAUUCCAGGUGACAAUCAUGUUGACAAUUCUGAAAUAGACAGUGGGAGGAUGACGAAGACAUUGAGAUUUGCACCACUUGCAGUAAGGAAAAUUUUACGAUGGUCUUUCAAUGAUAUUAUACAUGCGUGCAUGCGACUUGACAACUGUGAGUUGUCUGAGCAAUUAUUUCUCGAGGUAAAACAUAUAUAUGGCUAAUGUGUAUUAUGGUUACAUCGUCUUUCUGUUGCACUUACAUCUUUACCUAAGCACUUCUCCUAUUACAUUAAGUUUAUGACCAUUUCUUUCUUCUGGACUGUUGAACAUUCAUCGCUAUGGUAAACAUUCCAAUUGCUUGCUGCUUUUUUUUAAAUCUGUUGCUUAUGAUUUUACCUUCUUAAGAAAGUCAAGAGAGCAGAGCAUGAACUCCAUUUCUGAAUGAAGCAUGAAUUUCAUUUAAAGUUUUAGUCACUAACAUGUGGCCCUGCUCACUAGCAAUUAUUUCAGUAUUUUAAUUGUUUAUUAGUUUGCAGCUAUUGUUAGUGGAAAAGGUGAUGGCAAAUGUGAUAAUUUCAUUUAUCACUUAUUUCUUCUUUUAAUGGUGAUAGGCUGAUAGCAUUUAAAUAAAAAGCUUUUCGUGUGCAUCUAACUGUGUUAGUGAUUUCAAGACCAGAAAUUUCUUAAGGUAUAUCUCACAUCAGAGAAGUUUGAUAUUGGUGCUCUUUGUUGUCUUUUCUUCCCAGAUGUGCAAGAUUGGACUUCGACCGUCAAGAUUUACAUAUGAUGGUUUUAUCAAGAGUGUGGUAGCUGGAAAAGGAGUUGCACAUGCCAUCAAAGUGGUAUGUUAUCAACAGCUUGUGGUAUAUGUGAAAGGAUAUCUUGUUAAAUAUGAUUUUGCACACUACACCCAUUAUUUUGUGAAACAGUGAAUAUAGUGUUGCUGUGCCUUUUUUUUUGCAUAAAAUCUAUAUGCUAUGGUUUUGAAUAGAUAUUGUAAUGUCAAUCCCUCCAUGGAAGCUACCAUGUAAAGCUGAACUGUAUCUGUUCUGAUGCGACUGCUAAUCACUGUUUAGUUCCUCAUGCUUUCCAGAUUGAAGUGAUGGACAGAAGGGGUAUUGAACCUUACAAUGAUACACUCGCUGCUCUUUCAGUUGGCUAUAGCAAACGUUUACAGUUGGAUCUGGCUGAGGACUUUUUGGAAAGAAUUUCUGAGAUACAACCGAAGUAUAUACAUGCUUUUAAUGCUUUGCUUUCUGGUUGCGACAUUGAGGUAAUACAUUGGCUCUGGAAAGAGAUUUCUCUGAGAUGUCAUGUUUGUCUCCCUACCUUCCUGUCAUCGAAAUUUCAGCUUGGUCAUUUCAAAUUUGUACUGAUCUGCUCAUGUAUCGUCUAUUAUAAUCUCUUUCUUUUCCCGUCCUUAAUCCUUGGUGCUUUGUUGUAUUCACAAUAAUUUAUUACUCCCUGUGAUCCAAAUUAAUUGUCGCAGAUUUGUCUAGAUACGCAUGUACCUACACACUAAAACGCGUCUAGAUACGCAUGUGUAUCUAGACAAAGUUGUGACAAUUAAUUUGGGUUGGAGGGAGUAGUACUUCAUUAGUUAUCAAUGUACCUGACUUUGCUUGCUUUCAUAGAAAGUAUGAGCUAAAUCCCCUCUUUUUUGUAGAAUGAGCCAGAAAGAGCUAUCCGUGUACUAGCUAAAAUGAAACACUUGGAUUUGAAGCCAAAUCUCAGGACUUAUGAGCAUCUUUUCUCUGUGUUUGGAAAUGUCAAUGCUCCUUAUGAAGAAGGAAAUAUGCUAUCACAUGCAGAGGUUUUGAAAAGGAUAAGCAUAAUCGAGAUGGACAUGUUAAACCACGAGAUCAAACAUAGUUUUUUGUCUAUGAGCAACUUGGUAUGUUUACUUCCUAUCUAUAUUGAAGUUCAUCUUGUUUUCAUGCACAGUUCAGAGGAAACGGAAGUGCAUAACAUUUACUCCCUCUGAUCCAUAAUAAGUGUCCGGGAUUUAGUACAAAGUUAGUACAACUUUGUACUAAACCCUCGACACUUAUUAUGGAUCGGAGGGAGUAAUAUUCUUGCUAAGAAACACACAUGUGGCUAUGUACAGUAGAACUCUCAACUUCUAAGGCAAUGAUAAUUUUAAUAUGCUGUUGCUAAUUGACCUUAGCAACGGUCAUUGUGAAACAGGGAGUUCACAUUUUCUUCCUUCCCUUAUAUGAACAUUGGUUUAUCAAGAGAGUUGGCACUUGGCACUGGUAAGGAGUAAGAAUGCAACACAGAAGUGUCUAAUCAUUCUGUUAAGAAAUAAUGCCAUUGGUAUGGCUUUGUUGUUCACAUCAGGUUCUAAGCUGGUCGAAAUUCGUUGUUUUUUCUUUGCUUAUGAUGGCAUGUCCAUGAAAGGAGCUAAUUUAUGCUUGCCUUAACCUUCUCUCUUUCUGACCAGCAGUGAUAUCUUGAUUACUUCAAGGUACCAAACCCACUGUCAGUUCCAGUGUCUAAUAUGUUAUAAAAAGUUUCGUUCAUAAUAAGUGGAAGGAAGGUUUCACUUUAUUUUAACAGGAUAUCUCAAUCAUGUGCAUGUGAUUAUGAUGUAAGGCUGGACUAGCUAAUAUUGGUGUGCUGGCCAGGCCUAGGAGAGUAGGGAGUACUUCUUUGUGAAUGACAUUUCACAAUAUCGCUUGUCUGUUGAUGUUCUUUAUGGUAAUCUGUAUCCUAUCUGUUCAAACUAGUAUAUCAUAGGUAUUUCGAUCAUGUCCCGAGACCUUUACUGGCUUGAGCCUUGAAAGUUGAAAUAUUACAAUGACUAGCUAAAUGCAUGUGCAUUGCUACGGAAUUAUAAGUAUUAUUACAUGCAUGAGUUGUUUUAAAUACCUAUGUGCUCAUAUUUUCCAAUUUUAUGCUAAAUAAGAAUUGUCUCAAAAUAUUUAUUUGAGAAAGCAAUUAUCUCAAAAUUAUGCAUCAAACCAGAUCAACUAUAAUAAAAGAUCAUGAUACAUAUGUACAUCACAUUGAAUGGGUGCCAAUCAAUUGAUUAUCUAACAAGCUAGGGUGUAGUCUUCAUAGAUGAAUUGACGACCACCAAGUCGAAUCUUUAUAAGUGUAAAGAUAAUUGCCAAAUUUCUGGUUUUGAUCACCUGUCAGUAUGAUCUUUGAUACUUCUUACAGUGAUGGCAUGUUUUGACUUCUUGAUGUUUAAUUUACAACUAUAUGUUAUUUCAGAUACGAGCCUUUGGAGCUGAGGGUAUGAUAGAUGAAAUGCUGAGGUACUUCAAUGUUGCUGAAAAUGUCUUAUGGAAAAUGACUUAUUCUCAGAAGAGUGAUCUCUAUGGCAUUGUAUUGCAUGCUUUGGUUAAAGCCAAGGAAGUAAGGGUCUACAGUAUUUUGCUAUUUCGUUUCUUGUGACGAGAACUGGGUCUAUUUCUUCUCCUAUUUUGGGGAGUAUACAUCAGUUCAAGGCUAUUUUUUUAAUGCCUGGUCUGAUUUUAGUGGAACUUGUGGAAUUUCAUUUACCUCUUUCUGAUUCGCAGACACACAAGGCAAUAAGAGCAUUCAAGGUCAUGAGAUCAUGCGGUCUUCCAGCCAAUAUUGCUAUUUAUAACAUCAUGAUAGAGUGCUGUGAAUUGUUGCCAUGUUUUAAAUCAGCUAGUGCUUUGUUGUCCUUGAUGCUCCGAGAUGGCUUCUGUCCUACGAUUUUUACUUUCACAUAUCUCGUAAAGGUAAGACUAGUUAAUCGCAGAGCUGUUACUACUCAUUGUGUAAUGUACUGCUGAUUCCUUCGGUUUAGUCCAUUUGAAUCUAAGGGCCCCAUUUACUUGAGUCUCAUGUCUUGUUUUUCCAUGACAGGUUGUAUUAGUGAAGGAGGAUUUUAAGGGGGCAUUGGAUCUGUUGGACAUAUGCGUAACUGGGGGAAUUCAACCUGACAUACAGAUUUUCAACACAAUACUCUCAGAGGCGAAUGCAAAAGUAUGCCAAUGAUAAUAACUUACGAAUUCUUCUUCCCAAAAUGUUGAAGUUAAACUCAUGUCUUGUCAUUCUUCACAGGGUCAGAUUCAUGUUGUUGAAUAUAUUGUCGAGUGUAUUCACAGAGCAAAGACUCAGCCUGAUCAAUCAACACUUUGGUACACAUUUUGUGCUUACGUGGAUAAAGAAUUAUACAACACUGCGAUUGAGGCAUUGCAAGUCCUCAGUAUGAGAAUGAUAUCCUUGGAUGCAAGCAUUCUCAAGGAAAAAGGAGCAGUUUUAGAGGAUCUAAUCCUUGAUGAAGAGCCAGAUGCUGAAUUAAGGAUCAUGAAGGCAUUCAAGCCAACUGAAGAACAUAUCGUGACAGCCUUACUGAAUCUGAGGUGGUGCUUAACAACGGGUUCGACCAUAUCUUGGUCACCCGAGGACAGUCUCUGGGCGAGGAGGCUGGCAUCGUCCUAUGACGGUAAGAAGAGACCAGACGUGCUAUGAGAUUCAGGCAUGAAGUAUCCGUCUGUUGAAACCAAUGAGAUAGAUCAGCUGGCCUAAUUCCAUGGUUUUGACAUGCUCCGGAGGAGAACUGGGGAUGUAAUUCUUCGCGUUGUUCUCCAGGCCAGGCUUGCACCUAACGUGCAUUUUCUCUCGGCUGUAACUGAGGUUGAUGGUGACGAAGAUUGAACUGCGCGGAAGUCAUAUCUAUUCAAUAUAACAAAUACUAACAAAUUUUGAGUUCAGUUUGUGCGCUACAGGCAAUAUCUAUCUGUUACCUUAGUGUCUCGUGGGCUCUAUGACCUGCCAACAUAGUUAUUUGUUUCAUUAUUUCCCACUAAUUUCUCCCAUUGGAGCUGUGUUGGACUGUAAGUCAUCAAAGAACGAUGACAUGGUAGCAUGCUGUAAGGUCCUUGUCUCUCAUUUUGAUGCACAAAGGUGUAAUUUAGUUGUAGUAAGGAUGUGAAUUUUUUGUCUGCAGUGGAGGAAGAUAGGGCUGCCCUAUAUGUGAUAUUUCUUUAAUAGAGAUAAGAUGUUUCUGACCUUUAAUUUUGAAAAUGAAUUGGGAAAUUUCUCGAGGGCAUAAAGGUGUUCUGUACUUGUAUAUUCCUUUUCUGGAGAGAACAUAUGGCUUCAGUCGAUGGAACAGGUAGCGGGUGCCGAAUUCAAAUUGAUCGAUGCGCCAAUAAGAAAGCCCACUCGGGUCCGUCAAUGAUGGCCCAGGCGAAGAGAGUGGGCUUUCAAGUUUUCGCUAGGGUUUAACGCCCUCCAAGCCGCAGGCACGCGAGGAGGAGAAGAAAUGGCAUCUUUGGCCCGCGCCGCCGCCUCCGCCGCGAGAUCGGCCAUUCGCACGGCGCCCCUCGCCGGCCGCAGCUUUGGCUCGUCCCUGGCGGCCCCCAACCCAGCUCGAGCCGCCCGGAUCCUGCGCAGGUAGGUCACUAGGCGUUCCUGUUAAUGCGUUCAUGGACUGGGUGUGCGUGCACUUACAUUACAUCGAUGUCCCUGCAGGUCGGCGGUGGCGGGGCUGGAGACGCUGUUGCCGCUCCACACGGCGGUGGCCUCGGCGCGCCUCAAGUCCUGCAUCGCCGUCGACUCCACCUGCUGGAGCUCUCUUUCCCAAGGUAAACCCUCCGCUUUUCGGUUCCUCUGGUUGUUAGGACUUACGAAGAUGCUAUGUUGACAUUAGCUUAGAUGUGCUAUUGACCGCGGAGGAUUAUUUUAGUCGAAAUAAGCCUUUUCCAAUAAAAGCAAACCGUAAUUCGUGAAGUGAAUUCAAAGAACCAGAACAAUGAGCCAUGCAGUGUUGUGAUGGAGGGGAUAUCGGUUGACAACUUGUUAUGUGACUUUGUUAUUAUGCUCAUGCGACAUAUGAACCUACAAAUAAGAGGCGUUGGAUGAACGAGUCUUUGAACAAGGAAAGGUACUAGUACUGUGAAGAUAUCCAGUGAUCAACACACAGACUCUGUGUAGUUAGAUAGAAGCUGAUGAGAAGUAUUGACCACUGUUGUUUUAUUGGGGCUAAAACCAUAUUGAUGUUCAUCUCCUUUGUUUAGUUUAUUAACCUUAAUUUCUGUGAGUACCAAAUAUGUUGCAACCUAUGUUACAUGGUACGGGGAUACGAGUACGGGGAUACUGAAUCGGGGAUACGGGAAAACGGCAUUUUUCAAAAAUAGCCUUACGUGGAUACGGCAAGUAUAUGUAUAAAUCCAAGAAAAUAAACACCAAAUAAACAAUAUUAAGUGAAUGAGGAUUGAAAAUGGACGAAGAUUGGAUGAAGCAGCAACAAGCGAGGUGUUGGCGGCCGGCGGCGUGCAGAUCUUGGCUUCAUUUGGCCAUGUACUGAGAGGCGAGUGCUUGAUUGAUCGAGUAGGACAUUGCCAGUUAGCCAGACCCGUAUGAUUCCCAGCCAUUAUAUAUAUUUUAAUUAGAAUAAAAAUGAUUACCAUAUCCCAUGCGUUUUUAGGCGUAUCCCCGUCCUGAACGUGUAUCCUGCACCAAUACGGCACCUUUGUAAUCGUUAAGGGUUGUUGUGUAGAUGAAGGAUGAAAUUGAUUGACAUAGUUUCUUGAGUAGUUGAGUUGCUUCAGUAUAAGAAGUUUGCUUUUAAUUGAACAUAAACCUACAGCAAUUUGUAUUUCAUUUCUUAUUGACUUGGUGGUCUUUGUCACAUCCAUCCCCCUAAUGGUUUCUUAGCCUUUAAAUCAGAUGAUAGUUUUUGGUUCUCUGUCGGGAUAUCUGGUGGCUAUCUAAGAGCAUUCACUUUGUUUCACCUCACCUAAAGGCAACACUAUAACAAUCUCCAACCAUUUUUAUCGUUCCAAUAAAUUAUUUUAUUAUUAUUUUCACCUCACCUUUUUCCCUAACGCUCCCUCACCAGUCUCUCACAUCCGAAGGUUUGUGUGCCCAUGUUCUGUCUUGCACAAGAGAUGCUCUUUACAUACUCUCUUGCCCAACUAGGCAGCCACUAUUGGAGAGCCCUAGUCACCAAAAAUAUAACUUUGUGUUUGAACUUCAUGUAGCUAGCCCAGUCAAUGAGGAGUUUAUUUCAGAUCUGGAAAUAGAAUGUCUUGAUCUUCCAGCACUAUUGCCAAUCUAGGGCCUCAAUGUUGCUGGUGUUGGUCAUUGUUUUGUAGAAUAUUGAUGUGAUACUGAGGUUGACUGGCUAUUUGGCAUGUAAACACCAAGCUUUGUUUGCUUGUCCGAGUAGGAAUCUCAACCUUUUUGAGCUCCUUCAGGCAAAGUCAAACAAUUGUCAUCCUAGCUGGGCAACAUUUGGCAGCAAACAUAGUAUUCUCAAACUUUAUCCCCAAAAUGGCAGUGGUCUAAUUCUCUCCUUUUAGAGUGUCAGUACUCAAUAAUGCAUAUCAAAUUCUGCUCCUUUUCAUGUGUCAGUAAUGUGUAUCAAAUGCUGCUUAUUUGACAUGUCGGUGAUACACAUUGAAUAUUGAGGUUUUGGCUUGGUAGUCAAUUAUUUAGCCUCCUUUGUACAGAUUGGUUAAGCGGAAAAUAUCAAAUUGAUCAAUUAUAGCUACCUAUGACUUGCUAAUCUGUUUGUAGUUGGCACCAAGUGAACUGCAGUGGUUAUUCUCUGUUAUUUCUUAUUGAAAACGACGGGGUUUCUAUCUUUUGACUGUGAUUGUUAUAGGUUUUAAAAAGCGCAUCUGAUCAUGGCUAGGAGCUGCGCAGCAGAGAAGCGAAGACACCGAGUUAGAAACAAAGUGCAUCUCUUUUUUCAAUAGUUCUUAGAACAUGUAUCCCGUCUAUUUUUGCAGUUGCUCUGUGCAUGUACUCUCUUUAACAAAAUAAUAGAGCAUGCAAAAUACAGUUCGCCCCUUGUAACCCUUUGAACCUUGAUGUUUCUUUUUGUUGAUCUUGGAGAAAAUCUGGAAUGAUAAUGGAAAAAAAAUUGUUGCUUUUUUUUAGCUUGAAAUCAGCUUGAAAAAUUUCUCCUUGUCUAAUUAACUUGAUAGAUUGUAUAUCCGUCAUAUAUCAUUGACCUGACUUGCUCUUAUAUUUCGUGAUAUAGGAUAUGCUUUGCCUUUGUGACAAAGAGCUGCACCUGAAGAAACCAACGGACAUUAGGGAUUGCAUACAUUCUGGCUGUAAUAAUUAGAUACUUGCAAACUGAUGCUUCAUCCCUCGUUUAAUUUCGUAAUGUGAUUGUCGAAGUUUUGGAACAAGUUUGUCCAUGUGGAAAGUUUAUGCCCCAUGGAUUAUCUGCAGCUUUAAAACAGUGGGUUGUCACGAGAUGGUUAUGCACAAUGUUUUCCCUUUGGGCCUCUUCUUUUCAUAUUUGAGAUCUUAGCCUAUUUUACUUCACAGAAGUGGCUUAAAACCUUAAAUCCAUACACAUACUUUGCUGGUUUAGAAUUACCAUGAAUAACCAAUUUUCAUAUAGAAAGACGUAUAGCAGAAAAAUAAAACUGAAAAUAUGGAUGAUGGCUAUGAAACACCUCAAGUUGAGACAGAUAAGAGUCCUAAUUCUUGCUAUACAUAAAGCGGAUCUAAUUCUAAUGAGCAACUCGUGGUGACCAUUUCUCUUUAGCAUAGAAUGAUCUUGGCUAUUGGAUUGAACAACUGGGUUCCAUUAACUUAUCGUUCCUGGUUGGCACAGAUCAGAAUUUUGAACGACUUUUGGGUGCCAAAAUGAGUGAUGAUAAGCUCCGAGGCCUUGAUUGACGUAGAGAAUUAAGCGGCCCGUAUAACAGUCGGUAUAUACCCAGUAUUCAUCGUGCAUCAGUUCUAAUAAAGUGUUAAUUGAUGAUAACAUAGUUUAGCUCAGAUAAAGUUUUUUUUGGCAGAUGAUGAUUUUCACCGUAUAUAAUGAAAAUGAUUCUUUCCGAUUUUGCAUUAAGAAGUAUUUGUGACUUGGUGUGGUCCAUAUCACUGUUUACCCGUGCAAUAUGAGUAGGGUUUAUUGCUUCGGUUUACUGAGCGGGUCUGGCGAGCCAGGAAAGAAGUUAAGAGGGAGCAACUAGACACUCUUAAGCAGAUAUAACUAAAUUUAGAGAGGACACCAAUGGUGAAAAAUCUAAGAUUUAAUUUGGUAUGGCAUAAUUGAGUGGGGGCAUUAGCCCCCAUGAGGCUUAAAGUGGGUCCGGCCGCCAUGGGUCUCGUAAAUAUGAUAUGGCAACAAUGUUUCUUUCGUCUCAGAAUAUAUAGCUAGGUUUUCUCAGAUUUUGACUUCAUAUUUAAAGAUAGGUUUGGUGAUGAUGGAAAAACCUUGCUACAUAAUUUGAUUCAUCUUUGAAUUGAGGUAGUCAAAGGUGAGUCGCCGCGCAGGAGAAACUGCUCGAAAUGAGCAUGAUUGAUGGAGCUGCAAGUAAAGCCCUCUCGCCCAGCGAAUAGCUCUAUAGUAAAAUUAUAGGCACAAUGCUAGUAUAAUUUACGGUUUUUAUGUAUUUAAAUUGGCUGAUUUUUAGUCAGAGAUAAGUAGAUUCCUCAGCUAUUAGAUAUGAUUUGUGGUUUAAGUUUCUUGAACGAACCAUGGAAAGAGCAGAGUGCAAUAACGUCCAGAUAUUAAUCGAACGGUUUUAAUGCGUAAAUUCAAAUUUAAGUCUUUUUCUUAGAAAUCAGACGUCUGAGAAAUAUAGUCACACACGCUUGAAAGAAAGACAGCGUGCAUGUACUAAGGGAAUACUCGCAAAGCAAAAUAACAACGUACUUUCCCCCCUAUGAGAGCAAGUUCUCCUUCCACCCUACCAUGCAAUGAGUUAUGGUCCUAGAAAACCCUUUCAAAAAAACAUUUAUUCUUAUUCUUAGAGAGCACAUCUACUACCAGCUGGUUAAACAAUAAAGGUGUGUGUGAGAGAGAGAGAGAGUGAUUUCCCAAAGUGUGCGAGCUUUUCAGCCUGCAAGGUCGAUCAAUUGACAUGAUCACAGAUGUACAAUUUUCUGACAUGAUCACAGAUGUACAAUCUCCUGUGGUCCUCUACCCUCGAUAGAUAUCUGGCGUGUGAACUACACCAUGUUCACCAGACAUCUCUUGCUACUUGAUCCCGACAUCAACAAAUUAAUUACAGUACGACUGCUUCAAUUCAUCCUUGCUGCCUUGCUGGCACUGCAACUUACUAGCUGCCAGCUAUCACUUCUAGCCAAUUAAGCCCUUCCCCGCAAAAAAUAAUCUAAAUAUUCUAAAAUAUAUAAGAGGCUUUUUAUGGUACAAUUUACUUCUACUAGUUUAGUGUAGUAUUGGCUAUCUCUAUUUCUUUUUAACUAUGGCAUAAUUGAUUUGUUGCGAUCAAAUAGAUUUUUUUCCAAAAUAUUUAUUUUAAAACCAAAAUCUUCUAAUAUAUAAUUAAACUAGCAAAAAUUCUAAGGUCUAGAUGUUGCGAAAGUUAUUGUACAGUCUAGAUUUAUCCAAUCCAAUACAUCAUCAAAAUCCAUAUUCUACAUAGGUGUAAAAUUACCAAAUCUGGGGAGGAAAUGGAUACCUCAAUAGCGCUAUUAUACAUCCCCAGAUUUGGUAUUUUUACACAGACCACAAAUAAAUGAAUGUUUACGCGAAAAUGUACAGAUAUGUAGUAUACAUCUAUACUAACACUACAAUUUUUCUUUUUGAAACCUCAAGACAUGAUUUUCAUGAUGUUUGAACUAUAGUGAGCACUGGAUCUCGGGAGCCAAAUGGGGUUUCGUAUUGUAUAGCUCUCACUUACAAUACUAUAACCUAACUAGGAGUAGCUAGCAGCAGCUGGGCUAUAUAUUAGGAAAUGGUGACGGUAGACUGUCCUCUGUCGCCAGCACUCCAAGUUUACUUGUCUUACACUUUUUUCUUUCCAGCCGUCUCUGUCCAUCUGGAGGUCAGCUAUGCUAGCUAGCUAUAGACAGACAGAGAUGACGAUCCACAUAUCAACGGGCCGGCCGGACACGCACGCAUGCAUGCAUUUUUCACUGAUCUAUAAAUAGGCUCAGGUUUGGAGCAGCUGGCAGAUGCGUCGCAAAGCAAAGCUAGCAUACACCUGUACAUAUAUACACGUACGCAAACACACACGCACAAAUUAACAAGUGGCUUAAUGGCUUCCGGUGCUCAGAUGAAGAUGAAGAUGGUUGUCGUCGUCCUCCUUGUUACAACAACGGCCUUAAUGUCAUUCAUAUCUGCAGCUGAUGCGACCAGGACGACCCUGAAGAACCCGGGAACCUGCAUCGAGAAGGCGUGCGAGGUUUCCCGGCGCCAACGCAACGGCAGGCGGCGAGGGGGGACGACGCGGCAUCCGGCAGAAUCGCGACACAUGUCCCAGCUCCCCGCAGUUCCGGCAUCAGCAGGAAGACCGACAGAGCGCCCCCGCAUGGUCGUCGGCCAGGCAGUUGUAGCAUUUCCCCACCAUGUCCGGCGGAAUCUCAUCACGAGCCACCGGGACGGCAGGAUGACGUCCAGCCGUCGACGGCGACGGGGACGCUUGCCACCACGCUGCCAGCCCUCAUCCACCCGAAGCUCCGGAGCCACCCUCGCACCCAGCUGCUCCGUCACCGGAACCCUAGGCAGAGCGGCGGCGGGACGGACCAUCACCGAGGCGAGUCGAGGAGCAGGGGCAAUGAGGGGGACACGAACGCCGCCCACGGCCACAGAACCACCGGGAGGAGCCGGCGAGGGGCCCUCCCGCACCACCGCGCUGAACGAGCGCGCCGCCGACCGCUCUUCGUCGGAGGAGCAGGGGUGGGGGUGGGGGGGGGGGGGCUACGGGACAAACCCGCAACGGGAGAAGCAUCCAUGGGACGCCGGGAGGGGGAGGAACACGCCGGCAGGCGAGGGGGGUGGCCGCCGGCGCCGGAGUGGCGGUCGGCGCGGUCGCAGUCGCAGUCGCCUUUCAGUCGCCCAAGCAGUCCUGGUGCACUCCAAAUAGUUGAGUAAAUUAUUCAUGCAAAUCUAUAAAUCCUGAAAUUGAAAAAGGUUUCCAGUUGUGGAUUUCUAGCAUGAACUUGGCCUUUUUAAUUCAUGCAUGUAAACCAUCCUUGGUUUCUACAGAAUCCUUGGUUUCUUAAAUAUAUCUCACACGAUCUGCAGAAACAAGUCCCUCACCAGGUUUCCUAUAGCUUUGGUGGAAGCUUUUAAAUCUCAACGACUAUAUAUCCCUUAAUGAGAGUUCCCUUUCAUACCUGCAGAUUGUUUUGCCUGUCAAUGUUUGAGAGAUGAUAUACUCUGUGAAGGAAAAGGAGAAGGGAGAACGGAUUCUCGAUUUACUGUAUGAAUAUGAUGCAGGACCAGAAGUGGUCACGUCGUCCAGUCACACCAAGGGGAAACUGAACCUGCAGGACCCUGAAAGACUGGUGUGCGUUGCGCUGCUGUGGAGUUGGUUGGUAAAGUACGGAGUAGUACACAGAGGCACGUUGAUGAGUUUGGCCGUUUCUACGCCAAGCCACGGCACAGUGCAGGCACCUAAAGAUUAAUAUUGAUGGCUGCUUCAGGUGCUAAUGAUCACACUGCACUACUGGAAAAUCUGGCUUUGCCUGAGGCCUAGGGCCUCCGGCAAAAGCUUUGCCGGAGGCUUUUUCUCGGGGCCGUCAGCAAAGAGCUUCGGUAUGGACGAAGGCUAGGCUUUGUGGCACGCGAUGAGUUAGGUUCGGGGGUGGGCCGUCUCACCCAUCUUCUUCAAGACCCUGUACAGAGUACAGACUGAAGCGGAGGCUGGAUGCUGUUCGGUUGGGAAAUUAAUGACCCAAGUGACUAUCUGAGCAGAUGUCCAGCUUCUUGUUGAUGCUGUGACCUCUCUCCUUCAUCGACAAGGUCAGGCUGGUUUUGGCAUGAGAGCAAUGACAGUGACACGUCAUCGGUCAUUUUGACAACGGUAGUGGCCUUCCAAUGAUCAUAUUUGUCUGCAUUUAGCAAAAAAUCACAUUGAACUAUCUUCAAAAACCAUUUUAUUCAACAUAAUUAUUUAAGGAAAAUCUUUCAUCACCUCCAGCUAGCACAAAACAAAUCGAUACCCCAUGAAAAUAACUUACAUACAACUAUUAUUUUCACAUGAUGCGCGCGUGGACAUGCAUGCAUCUUAUCGAGCAUGCAUAUAUAAAUGCGAUCGAUCACGAGUUCAUCGAUCGCUUUUACUGCUCGGCGACCAGUGAUCUCUUCUUCUUCUUCAUGGUCACCAAGGUGCUGAAGUUGACAGGGUCCGCGUACCUCGGCGCGGCGCCAUAGAAGACGGCCAAGGCGCCACGCUCACAUGUCGCCUGCGUGCAGUGCAGCAUGUCCCAGAACAUGUACUCGCCAUGGUUAUCGGCACACACCCCGGUGCCCUCCGCGCCGCACAUCUUCUCCGCCAUGAACUUCCCGGCGCCGCAUUACGCCGUCUGCACCUCCCGGAUCCCGGCCACUAGCGGGUUGGCCAUCAUGUUCGUCAGGAUGUUAUAGUUACUAGCAACAGAGUAUCUGAGCUCCGUCAUCGAGGCGGCAGCGAUGCCGGCAAGCUCGAUCCUGAAAAGGCUGUUGAACCACCGUGCCAGGGAGUUGGCCACCUCGUUGCACUCGCCGUUUGGCAUCCUGGCUCUCUGCCCCGGCGUGCACCCGAUCGGUGCCAUGUCCACACUCUCCUGUAUAGCGCGUCAGGGACUUCGGGUACGUUAUUACGUGCAUUGUACACAACAUUGCGCUAGUUUUCAGAUUGAUUUAAGGGUUGGACAACAACAAUUGCGGCUCUGAAGGUCAGUCCAGUGUCGGUAUGAGAGCGGUGACAAUGACUUGUCAUCGGUCGUUUUGACAACGGUAGCGGCCUUCCAAUGAUCAUAUUUGUUCAUUUUGCAAAAAUACACAUUGAUGCAUCUUUUUUUUAGAGGCAAAGGCCCCCGCCCAGUUCCAUUUUCAUUGAAAACGAAACAAUGUCUGAUACAAUGUAAGCACAGAAGAUUAAACUGCCCGAAACAGGCAAGCAAAAGAGCACCAUUUCUAACACACCCCCAGCACAACUCUCGCCACAACCCAGGAAAAGGAAUACAAAGAUGAUCAAGCAGAAAGGCUAGGCAAGGGGGUCUUCUCCGGUGAGUCUCUCCCUCCCUCCCUCCCUCCUCCCCCUCCUACCCCUUCGCCUCUCUCAAUGGCGGUGGCGGCCUCCCUCGCUCUUGGCUUGGACUUCUCGCCGGGGGAGUCUUUUCGGCAGGAGGUUCGGUGUCGUUUCCGCUCCACGGUGGAUCCGUUGGGGAAAUAUCAUCAUUUCCUCCUUGUGGUGUCAUUUGGUCGGGCUCGUUUUCGACUAGAUGAAGAUUCAGUCAGUUUGGCUCUGGAAUCAUGCAUUGGGGUUUUAUGUGAUGAUCUCAUGGUUCAAUUUCUGCAUGAUCGAGUUUUCCGCUUCUCGGUGGCCUCCAAGUAUGUUGGGUUUUUUGUUUAUUCCCUCCGCCAGUUCUCUUGCCCACAAUUCAAGUCUUUUCUUCCAUCUGUGGGGUGGUGGUGGACCAAAUUGGUCCCUGGAAUUCAAGGAUUGGCAAAAGGCGAAUGAUAAUGAAUGGGUCCUUGUGAGUCCCACGAAGAAAAGGGUGGAGCGUGCCCUGUCGGCCCUCCAUAGACCAACUCCUAGUUCAAUCUUGAGGAAGGCUCCUCCUUCUCAGGUCCGGAAGAGCUUGUCUUUUGGUGCGGUGUUAGCUUAUGAUGCUUGUAGUGGGUACUCUUUUCCCCUAUCGUCUGAGCAGCGUGCUGAUUUCAGAGAGGCUGGGUAUUCUGUUUCGUCACCGGUGACUUUCCGGCCAGGUAUUCCGGCGGUCAGCAUUGCUGUGGAGUUUGGCAGUUUUGGCCCUCCUUUGGAAGGCAAUCAAUCUGGAGCUAUUUUGGGCAACUUGGGAUCCCCUUUCCCCCUACGAUGGUGGGCUGUGAUUCAGGGGAUAGUUUUUCCUCGGCCAAGGCGGAUUUGGUGGAUCAGCUUCCCUCUCCGAUGGUGGGCCGUAUCUCAGGGGAUUGUCUUUCCUCGGCCAAGGCAGAUGAGGGUCUGUCUACUUCAAGGGACCUGGAUGGGCUGGCUGAGGUCGUGGAUGAUAUUGCGGCCCGGUUUUGGGAUUGUCAGCGUUGUUUACGUAUGGGCCACACCCAGGAUGUUUGCAAACGGCCCAUUCGGUGUCGGAAGUGUUUCCGGAAAGGCCACAUUGCUAAAUCUUGUGUUUCCUUCAAUUCCCCUGUGUGUCGUUGGCUUCCCAAGGUGGCGAAUACUUGUCUUAAUUCGGAUGGGACUAUACAAGGCGUUUCAUCUCCCUUUGCUACGCAUAGCCCUGCUACUCGCCCCUCUGCCUCGAGUUCGUCGUCCCCUCCAUUACCGCCCGAGGUGCUGCCUCCCUGUGCGCCCGCUGCUCCCAUGGCAGUUUUCCACCUCGAUCCCUCGCGUUACUUGCCCCCUGGUCAUGAGGUGAUUGAUGGGGGGCCAACGCGUCUUCCACGCACCUUCGUCACCCCGACGCAGCCGCUUCAGUGCCACCACGAAGGCUACUUGGUGGCCAUUGUGGAGCCUCCUCCUCCGGCGGAUGAUGUCGAUCAUCAUCGCGAGCUAGUGGGCCAACAUAUCCAGCUGAAUCUUCAUCGUCAGGUUCAUGAGACUCAUCUCUCCUGUGUUGGAGUUGGUUUGUAUCGUUUUAGGCUCGGCUGUGUCGCGUGAUGCUCUUGUUCAGCUCCCCCCCGAAGAAUAUACUGAGGGUUUUUUUGUUCGAUUCGUGAAACAUGAUGAAUGCUUGAAUUUUCGUGCGGUCACGGGCACUCGCACUGGCUGGUUGAUGUUCUUAGGGAUUCCCCUUGAUCUUCGUUACACGGGGUGCAUUAUGGAGGCUGUUAACACCUUUGGGAAAUUCCAUUAUUGGCAAGAGCAGGAUCCUAAGAAAGUGCGUACCUUGGUUCGUGCCUCGUUUCCCUCCCUUGCCUUGGUGCCACGUGAUGUGGUUUUCAGAAGUUCCACUGAGUUUGGGGGGAUUAGGUUGUCCUGGACUGCACCUGUUUACAUCCUCUCUGCUGAUUUUGCUGAACAAUUGCCUGAGGACGAGGACCCCAUGCCAGUGAAUGGUAACCCCCACCCCCUGCCUGAUGUUGCUCUGCCUGAUGCUGGGUUUUUUUGCUCUGCCUGAGUACCCGGAGAUUGGCUGGGAUGGUAUGCAUCCAGUGCAGCCGGAUGAUCCACACGAUCCUGAAGAGCACCCGGGUGCUGUUGAGGACCCAGGCCCUCAAGUUGAUGAUCAGGUAUCCAUGGCCUUGGAUCAUUUGCUGGACUCUUAGUCGUCUGCUCCAGUGCCUCCUUCUGAAGGACAGGGCAGUGAUAGUUAUGUCUCUUUGGCAACAAAACAGGUUAAUUUGUGCAGAGAUUUGGUCCCUUUUAUUCCUCUGAAUGUGCCUGCGCCAGUUCAGCUGCCUCUCCUGCCUUUGGGUCCUUGCCUGCCUCCUGAGUUGGUUUGGCACCGUAUGUUUGAGAGUUUGCUUCCUGAUUUGCUUGGUGUUUCGAUCCCUCUUAGUCUCCAACUUCCUUUGCCCAAGGUUAAUUUCAAGUGCAAUUGGUCACUUGCUUUUGAUGAGGCUUCCUCUCAGGUCAGUGUGGUUUGGUCCCUAUCGAGCCUCAAGUCACCCCACGCAAGUCUGUGCUGAUUGCUCGGAAGAUUGCUCGGCCCCUGUUCUCGACGGAUAUAUCUGAUCAGUCUUGCAGUUUGGCACAGCCGGCUUUCUCUGCUUCCGCUGGUGUCACUCUAGUCAAGAAGCGCCGUGCCAAGAAGCCGGUUACUCCUUUGGUUGAUUUGGGGUUGCGUCAGGUUACGCGCCUAAGUGCUCAGCGUGCAGGGUUUCGUGUCCCAGUCGUUCAAGAUAUCAAACCUACUCCUCGCAAGUGUGCUCGUCAUGCUCCCUCUGAACGUGCUGCCCCCCCCCCCCCCCGCCCCCCCCGCAACAGAUCAUCAGUCAAAAGCAUUGGCGCCCAUCCCCAUUGCUUCCCUGCAGCUCAUGGGGAAACUGUUAGGCAUUGAUCCUGCUUUGACGACAUCGGAGAAGCUUAUCGCGGCUCCUGCUGAAGACUGCAACUCUAGUGGUUCCAACGAUAUAUAGUUACUCUUUGUUUUGCGUGUGUGGGUGGGGGAUGUGUAGGUCCUCUUCUGCUGAUAAUGCUUGGAUUCAGUUAGUCUCCCUUUGCUGGCAUCUGUUUAGCUCUAUUAGGGUCCCUUUUGGUCAGGUUGUGAGGGGUGUGUCUCUUUAUUUUGGUUUUGGUUAUGCCAAGACUUUCACUACUCUCUGUGUGAUGGUUUAUGGAUUAUAAGACUUUAAGUUCUCGUCAGUGGAAUGUGUUAUCCUGGAACGUGAGGGGUCUGAAUUCUGAUGACAGAUGUCGUGUUGUCCGGGAAAAAAUUGAAGAAAGUCAGUGCUCGGUGAUUUGUUUGUAGCAAACAAAAUGUGAGCAAAUUGAUCAUCGUUUCCUUAGAAUGUUCUGUCCUAAGCAGUUUGAUAACUUUGCAUUCUCGCCCUCGGUUGGUGCCUCGGGUGGUAUUCUCAUUGUCUGGUGCUCGUCGGUUUUCACGAGUGUGCUUAUUGAGUCUCACCGUUUUGGGCUUGUUGUGCAAUUCUCUUCGGUCCACUCCCAGCUUUGUUGGACCUUAGUUUCGGUCUAUGGGCCUUGCCAAGGAGAAAUUUGGGAUGAUUUUGUCACUUGGCUUUUCCAUUUACCAAUUCUUCCUGAGGAACUAUGGUUAGUCCUUGGCGAUUUCAAUUUCAUCUGCUCCUCUGACAAUUGUAACCGCCCGGGUGGGGAUCUUAAUGAUAUGUUUAUUUAUAAUGAAAUCAUUGGGCACCUGGGUUUGCUGGAACUUCCUCUCAAGGGCAGGGCUUUAACUUGGUUGAGUAUGCAAGAUAACUCUUUACUGGAACAGUUGGACUGGUUCUUUACUUCGAGUGACUGGAUUUCGGUGUUUCCCAACUCCUCGGUCCACCCUUUGGUCCGCACUGCCUCUGACCAUGUCCCUUGUGUUGUUCGUAUCGACACUUACAUCCCUAAAGCCAAGAUAUUUCGGUUUGAGAAUUUUUGGGUUGAUCAACCUGGUUUCCUUCAGUGUGUGGCUCUCGCCUGGUCCGCUUCGUCUGUUCCUUUUAGUCCUUCUUCUGCGAAGCGGUUGGCUGCCAAAUUCAAAGCUGCCUGGCAGGGCUUGAAACGCUGGCACCUUGGUUAUCCAGAAUUAAACAACUCAUUGAUAAGUGCAACAUGGUGAUCCUAUUUUUUGAUCAGUUGGAAGAGGCUAGACCUCUGUUCUUGCUUGAGUUUAACUUUCGGAAAAUUGUUAAGCUGCACCACGCUGGUUUGCUUCGUGCCCAAUGCUCUUACUAGCAUAAGCGUUGUCCUAUUCGUUGGGUCAAACUUGAAGAUGAGAACACUCGGUACUUUCAUGCCAAAGCUACUAAGAGAUAUCGACGCAAUACCAUCUCACUUAUUCGACUGGUGGAUGGCCGCACUAUCUCCGAUCACGCAAAAAUGGCUACUGCUUUCCUCCUGGGUUUUAAGCAGCGUAUGGGUACUUCCUUGGGAAUCUCCAUGAGGUUUGAUCUGGUUAGCUUGCUUCACCAUGUGCCCAAUCUGGAGGAGUUAGCUCAUCCUUUUUCUCGUGAGGAGGCUGAUCGAGUGGUUAGUAAAAUGCCGGCUGACCACGCUCCCGGUCCGGAUGGUUUCAACGGUAUGUUUGUAAAGAAAUGUUGGUUUGUUAUUGCAGAGGAUUUCCACCGGCCGGCUGAUGAUUUUUCUAGGGGCAAUAUUCACCUUCAGAGUAUUAAUGGGUCAUAUAUCACUCUGGUCCCUUAAAAUCUGUCACCUGAGACUGUUUCUGAUUAUCGGCCCAUCUCUUUAACUAAUACCUGCCUUAAGUUCAUUACUAAGAUGAUGCCGGACCAUCUUCAGGAGGUGAUCCUUCGCUGUAUCCACAAGAAUCAAUAUGGUUUUCUCCGUUCUCGCACCAUUUAGGAUUGCCUUGCUUGGACCUUUGAGUACAUUCACCAAUGCAAGGCUUCUCGCCAGCCCUCGGUCAUCCUCAAGCUUGAUUUUGCUAAGGCUUUUGAUACUGUGGAGCAUGAGGUCAUUCUUGCGAUUUUGCGGCAUAAGGGCUUUCCUGAUCGCUGGACCCUCUAGGUCAAAGAGCUUCUCAGCUCCGGUACUUCGUCUGUUCUCCUCAAUGGUGUGCGGGCAAACCUUUCCCUUGUCGACGCGGGGUGAGGCAGGGCGACCCGCUCUCCCCCCUUUUGUUUGUUCUUGGUGCGGAUCUCCUUCAGUCGGUGGUUAAUGACCUGUUAUGUCGUGGUUUACUUUCUCUUCCCAUUGAUUGCGGUGACCCGGACUUUCCCAUUGUCCAAUAUGCGGAUGAUACUCUGCUUAUCUUGCAAGCUGAUUGUCAGCAAUUAUCGGUACUCAAACUGGCUUUGGAUGAUUUUGCGGCCUCCACUGGUCUUCGGGUGAAUUUUGCCAAGUCUAUGCUGAUUCCCCUCAAUGUCCUUGAAGAUCAAGUUCCUGGACUGGUGGCGGCUCUUGGUUGUGUGGUGGGUACUCUUCCUUUCAUGUAUCUUGGGCUCCCUCUAGGCACUACUCGCCCGCGGCUGCAGGAUUUCUCGCCUCUUGUUGAUCGCUUGGAGCACCGACUCACUACUAGUUCUCCUUUUCUCUCUUAUGGUGGGCGCCUCCAGUUAGUGAACUCUGUUCUGUCCUCGUUGCCCACCUACUUCAUGUGCUCUCUUGUCAUCUCGCCGGGCAUCAUUAAGCAACUGCACCGUAUCCGAAGUCCAGUGCUUGUGGCGGGGAAGUGACAAGGAUUCAUCUCGGCAGUCUUUGGCUGCCUGGGAUCUUGUUUGCCGACCUAAACGCCAAGGUGGUUCGGGUGUGAUCAAUUUACAGAGGCAAAACACUGGACUGUUGUUGAAACAGUUACAUAAGUUCUAUAACAAGACUCCGGUGCCUUGGGUUCAGCUUAUCUGGUCCUCCUAUUACCAUGGUGUUGUGCCACAUGCCACUCAGCUUUGUGGGUCUUUUUGGUGGAAGGAUCUGAUGAAGCUCGCUGAUCAAUUGCUCCCCCUCUCGGUGAUCACGGUUAGGAAUGGUUCUUCGGCCCUUUUCUGGUCAGAUAAUUGACGCCCUCUAGUGCUGAAAGAUUAAUGGCCUCACUUGUUCUCCUUUGCUAAGGAUUGUUGGAUUUCGGUGGCGGAUGUGUUUGAGUCUCCUGAUUUACAAAAUCUUUUCCAUCUCCCUUUGUCACCGGCUGCUUUUGAGGAAUUUGGGAAGCUUCAAACUCUACUCUCGCAGUCCCAUCUUUCCCCGGAGGAUGAUUGAUGGGGUCUUACGAGGGGUGCACAGUAUUCUUCUGUGAAGUUCUAUACCCUUGGUUUUCAGCACUUGCACCCUGGGGCGAUAUAUCGUUGGUUAUGGUCUUGUUGCUGCACACCGCGUGUGAAGGUGUUCGGGUGGCUUCUUCUUGUGGAUCGUCUUAACACCCGUGAUAUGAUGAAACGGCGACACUGGCACGUAGGUGAUGGUGAGGAGCAUUGCGUUCUUUGCCCUACUCACCAGCUGGAGGACUGGAAGCACUUGUUUUUCGGUUGUAAUUUCAGUGCUCGUAUCUGGCAGUUCCUUCAAGUUGAUUGGGCGGAUGGUCCAUCGGUGGAUGUGAUUGUGCGUCGGGCUGCUUCCUCUUUUGGCAAGCCUUUCUUUCUGGAAGUGGUGCUGGUGGCUUGUUGGCACAUUUGAAAGUUGCGGAAUGGGCUGAUUUUUAACCAUGUUAGGCCUACCUUUGGCGUGUGGAGGGCGGCUUUCACUCAUGAUAUGUCGCUUCUUGUUUAUAGGAUUAGACUUGUCCAUGUUAAUAGUCUUCUCUCUUGGUUUGACUCUACCUUGUACAGUAGGUAAGUUUUUUUCUUUUUUCUUUUCCUUGUACAGCUCCUUUGUAUCUUUGUUGGCUUUAAUAAAAUCACUGUAGGGGUUUCCCAUAUAGUUUCCAGUCAAAAAAAAAGAUGAUCAAGCAAUCAGCAUCCUUCGAGUGCCUGAAAGGAUUGGUGUCGAUGGUCCUGCCACAUCAGUUUUCCUCUUCUUCAGCACACCCGAAUCUGGGGAGCCUCCCUCACCUUGCAGUCCAAAAGUGUCAAGAAAUUCUCCAGGAGAGGGACCAAGUUUUUGGGACAGAGCAGCUUCCAUCUCACCAGCAGCCUGAAUAGCCUGUGCCACAAAACCUGUAGACCAGACCACAAGAUUCGACCAAAGUGAACGUCAUUCCGAAAUUUCCAGACCAUCCACAUGAAAACAGAAGUGACCAUGUUUGCAACAGCAAGUUUAGUAUUGUUGACCCACAUUUUGGCAAUAUCCUCAUAACAGAGAACCGCGGGUAUAUUUAGCAUAAUAGAGAUAUCAUGCCACAUCAGUUUAAUUAUGUCACAAGAGAAAAAAAGGUGGUUCACGGAUUUAGGUUCACAGCAGAGCAGACAUGAAGUGUCGUUUAAAUGUUGAUGUUUGCAAAGAUUGUCUCUAGUGAGUAGCUUAUUAUGAGAUAGUAACCACAAAAAGAAAUGAACUCUAGGGAUGAUGUUCAACUUCCAAAGAGCAGGAAUAUAAACAGGGGAAACCCCCCGAAAAUUUAUGACAGCAUAUAAAGAUUGCACCUGAUAGAUUCCUGAACUAUGCAAGCCCCAGAUCAAUCGAUCAUGCUCAGUAUUUAGGAUAGUUGCUUGUACUACAGAAACCAGUUGAAACCAUCUUUGCAUCAGCCUAUCAUUGAAACCUCUUCGAAACGAAAGUUUCAAUUCAAUCCCAUCCCAAACCUCAGCAAUGGUUAAAUGUUGUUCAUUGCAAAUGAAGUACAAAUCCUAGAAUUUGGAGGCAAGGCUGGAGUUACCAAACCAUUGGUCCUCCCAAAACUUGACAGAUCUGCCAUCCCCCACAACCCAGUAGUACCUUAGUUUUGCAGCCUGACAGGCUCUCAUCACACCCUUCCGAAAAGGAGAAGGGUUGAUGGGGGAGGAAGCCGGAAUAUUGGGCUGAACAUUGUCAUAUUUAAAAUCAACUAUUUGUUUCCAGAGCUUAUGCCCAUCUAAUUGGUACCUCUUAAUCCAUGAAGCCAACAAAGCCAAGUUCAAGUCUCUAAGAUUGGGAAUCCCCAAACCACCAUAAUCCUUGUGAAGUGACACUAGUUCUCAACUGGCUAGGUGGUAUUUUUUAUGUCCUUCAUAGUUAUCCCAUAAAUAAUGGGCCAUUUGAGAAUUGAUUGCUUGUAAAGCCCAAGAAGGGAAUUUGAUAGCAGAGAGCUGCUAAAUUGGAAUACUAGCAAGGCAAGCUCGAAUGAGCACUAGUCUUCCUCCAUAGGACAAAAGUCUACCUCUCCAUCCAGCAAUUCUCUUAAUAACUUUGUCAAUUACAGGUUGUAGAUCCUCUUUUUUCAGUUUAUUAUGGUGUAGAGGCACACCCAAAUACUUAAUGCGAUGCUGGCCCAACUUGCAGCCAAAGAUUUGGGCCAUUCUACCUGUCUCAUUUUCCUCCAGCCCAAUGGGAAUAAGAUCACUUUUGUUGAAGUUGAUUCUCAUACCAGAGAGCUGUUCAAAAAAAGACAUGAUCCACUUUAGGUUCUGAGCUUGUUCAAUAUUGUUAUCCAAAAAGAGCAAGGUAUCAUCUACAUACUCCAGACUGAUCACCCCCCCCCCCCCAGGCCUGAAGCCAGCCAAAAGGCCAGAGAUAAGAUUUUGUUCAGCAGCUCAACUGAGCAUUCUAGUGAAGACAUCAACCACUAGGGUUAAAGAGAAGGGGAGAUAGAGGGUCUCCAUGCCUUAAUCCUUUCCCAGUUUCAAAGUAAUGGCUCUCAACAUCAUUUAUCCUGACCCCAAUGGACCCUUUAUGGAUUAAACUCUUAAUCUUGUUCCUCCACUUCAGGCUAAAGCCUCUUUGUUCAAGCAUGGUCUCCAGAAACGUCCAGUCAACUUUAUCAUACGCUUUUUCAUAGUCUAGUUUUUAAAUAACCACUGACUCCUUUUUCCUGUGCAGCUCAUGAAUAAUUUCAUGGGAAGACACAAUACUUUCCAGAAUGAAUCUUCCUCGAAUGAAGGCAGUUUGAUUUGUUGAAAUCAGUCUAUCAGCACAUCUACUCAGUCUAUUGGUACAAGCUUGUGCAAAGAUUUUAAAACUGCAAUUAGUAAGUGCAAUGGGUCUGAAUUUUUUGAGAGAAGUAGCAUCAGCCUCCUUAGGAAUUAGCGUUAGAACAACAAAAUUAAGUCUAAAUAGAUCUGCCUGUCCUGUAUCAAAAUCUCUAAAGAGAUGGAUUAAAUCAUGUUUUAUGACUUCCCAAAAAAUUUGGUAGAAGAGGAAGGGGAAGCCAUCAGGUCCAGGCCUCAGCAUAGGAUUGAAAAACUGCAGAUUUUAUCUCCUCCUCAGUGAAUUCCUGGUCUAGCCACUCAUUUUCUUCCUCAGUAACUUUUUCAUCGUCAGACCAAAAGGUCUCAGGAAGGUUAAUAUUUAAUCUAUCUUCCUUGCCAAAAAGCAUUUCAGCAUUAUCUUGCACCAUUCCAGAGGGUCCUUCAAGUUCCAGAAUCCUUUUUUUCCUCCUUCUCUGAUUUGCCAAUGCAUGGAAAUAUGCAGUGUUUUUAUCACCCUCCAGCACAUCCCUCUCCCUUGAUCUCUGUCUAGCUUUAGUUUCCUCCUGUCUCCAAAUUGUUGAAAGCUCAGCUCAGAUAGCCUACAUCCUAGUGUGUUCCUCAAGAAGCAGGGAGUGGACUCAGACAUGAUGUCAAGACAAUCAUAUUCUGCAGCAAGCUGCUUUUUGUGUUUCUUUUGGUCAGCCUCCACAUUAAUACCCCAGCCUCUUAGGAAUUUUCUCAAUCUUCUAAUUUUAAACUGCCAUAUAUCAAUGGCUUUAGUACAGGGGCAAGGCAAGCUCCAAUUCUUAGAGACUAAAUUUGUAAAACCCUCAAUGGAGAGCCACCAUUUUUCAAAACGAAAAGUUUUCUUUGGUGGAACAGCAGGCAGGCCACAGUGUAACACAAGUGGGGUGUGGUCACCGCCAAUUCUAGGUAGAGCAGUCAACAUAGCCAAGGGGUGAUGGGAGCCCCAACAGGUGGACAUGAAAACCCUAUCAAUUGAUGCCAUAAUCCUAUUGGACUGGUUAUUAGACCAGGUAUAUUGCCUAUUGGCCAACUUAAGUUCCAUCAAAGCAGAAGAGUUGAUCCAGUCAUUAAAUUUACUGGCCCAAGAUAGAUUGAUGUUACCAGAAUUUUUGUCAGCAGCCUCUCUAAUGAGAUUAAAAUCUCCACCAAAAAGAAUAGGAAGAGUUGAGCUAGAACUCACAGAAUGAAGUUCAUCAAUAAACUCUUGUUUGUGUUCCUCAUAAGCUGACCCAUAUAUAGACACUACUUGCCAUUCAAAGUUAUCCCAUUUGUUCCUAAUAGAACAAGAGACAGAAAAGGACUGAACAGCCCAAGAUAAGAUAUUAAACUUGUCCUUAUUAAUACCCAGGAGAAUCCCCCCUUGCAGUAUUAACAACAGGUAAAUAAUUCCAAGCAAAAUUGGCAUUUCCCACUAAAGUGGCCAGGAAGGCAAGACUAAAGUCUAUCUUUUUUGUCUCGGAAAGAGCAAUUAUGUCCAGCCUAAUGGCCCUGAGAGUAUUAAUCACAUGAGUCACUUUAUUGGGGUCAUUGAGUCCCCUAACAUUCCAAAAUAGUUGUGUCAUCAUGAAUAUUAAUUGGGAUUUUGGAGUUUUUCUUACCUCUAUUUUUCCUUAUCCUACAGGAUAAUUCUCUAAUCUCAUCAAGUUCUUCUAAUUCAGGUUCAGAAUCCUGAUUAUAUUGUUCACUAAAAGUGGUAUCAUGUUCCUCUAAGAUAUCUUUCAUAGUAAGUUCAAUAUCCACAGGAAGGAAAAUAUCAGGUUGUUCUUCAGCAAGUUUUUCCAUUCCAAGAGUUUCUAGUUGUUUAAUUUUAGCAACAUUGUAAUGAAUAUCGGUCAUAUUAGGUCCUAAGCUCACAUUAAUUAAUUCAGCUUUAGCAAUCAAAGAAGUACUGCAGACAGAAGCAAUUAAGGGCAGUGGUUUUACCUCUCUGCUUUUCCAGAUUCUUCAUUUGUAUAGUUCUUGAGCCUUGUCCAUCACAGUUCUUCCAUCCUGUUGGAUUCUGGCACUCUGCCUGACAUGUUCAACAAGGCCCCAUUUCUUGUGUCUUCCUCUCUUGAGCUUGGCAGCCUCAACAGGAGUGGGAAAAUCUCUGUCAUUGGUAUUAGUAAUAGAAGCAGCAUUGGAAAUCACCACUUCUUGCAUGUCUUCAAUCAAUCUGCUCAUCACAGGACUGGUUUGAGGGACCAGGACCUCUUCAGAGGUAGUGUUUAAAGUCCCCCCAGAGUCAGGGAGCUGGGACAGUGCCUCACUGAGUAGAUGUAAAUCAUCCUCUUCUGUCAUUGCAGUAUCAGCAAGCGCUUGGAAACUGUUGGACCAAGCAGGGGCAACAUCUCUUUGUGUUGUUUUAGCGCCAGUCUUCUUCCCAUCAAAGGGGGGUGCCAGAGUAAAAGGGGUGGUUGUGGCUGGAGCACUGUCACCACCUGAAGGUUUGUCAUCAUUGUUCUGAUCCUCACUCUCAUCAAGUAAGUCAUCAUUCUCAUCAUAGUAGUCAUCCCCUGGUUCAUCAAGAUCAUCAAUCCCAAUAUCACUGCUGGCAGUGUCCCACUCAACAGUGAAGGUCAUUGGAUAGAACUUUUUCUAAAUAGCCAUAGCUCUCUCACUUGGAAUUUUCCUGGGAUUCUUCACAGCAAUUUUAACUCUCACCCCAUCAUACAGAGAUUUGAAGAUUUCACCCCAGUCAACAUCUAAGAGAAAACCAAAGAACUUGGAAAUCUGAGCAAUAACACUCCAAGAAAUGUGCUUUGGGGGAAUCCCACGAAUCUGUAACCAGAGCUCCUUCGGAUUUGCCAAUGCAGGCACUUCACCAUCACAGGCAGAGAUUUUAAUAGUUAUCCUAUCUGCAUCAUUACCUUCUCUGAGAUUGAAGGAGGGGAACUCAGCCAAAUCACACACAUUCUUUUGUGGGGGAAAACGCACUAGAAACAGAUUCUCCUCCAGCUGUCUGAUCAGCCACGGCCAUUGUUGAUCCCAGGUUUCAGCCAAUUGCAAUUUCAAAUCCUUGCAGGACAGUUUACCAUGUAUCAUAGAAACCACCCCACAGUUUGACAUGUUCAACCAUUUGUUAGCCUCUUGAUCAGCGACAUUGAUAUUGAAGAAACCAAGACCACUACUCGCACUACCAACAUACUGAGCCAUCGGAAUUCCCUCCCCCCAAAGCAGGCAGUUGUUCAUAUGGUGACCACUCGCUAAGCACAUGAAGCAGAUUUUAGGUUUGAUGCAAUUAGCAGAGUAGUGUCCCGGAUCUCCACAGCUGAAACAUACCACAUCAUUGUACUUCGGGUCCAUCGGUUGAACUUGGUCCACCACCGCUUGGGGGCGCGGUCUCGGCGGCGGAGGCGCCUGGAUCUGUCGUGGUUGUUGUUGUUGGUGCUGAGUUGGUGGAGGAGGGGGAGGAGGGGCAGGGGCCCCCUAAGGCCCUUGCACCACAGCGCCGGGAUUGGCCGCCACGGACGGGCCGCCUUUUCCGAGCGCAGCACCUCCCGAGGCCGCCACCGGCCGCUGCCAAUCGGGCGAUUGUACUGGUACGGGUUGUUGGGGCGUUGUUGUUGAGGUAGUCCUCCGCCGCGAGCAGCGCCAGCACGUGCACCCUCCAUCUCCUGUUUCUUCGCAAUCUCGGUGAAGGUCUCCUUCCCAUGCUCACAACUCCAGAAAUCACGAGAGAAGCUAAACUGCUUCGGAGUGGGAGGGAAUCGGUCCGAGAGGCGAAAUCUGUGGCAAUCGUGAAUGGAGAAAUGCCCAGCCUCGAAUAGAUCACGGCGGAUCCACACGGGGGCGGCAGCGACUCCUAGGGCUAGAACCCUAGACUGGAGGGGAGGGCGAGAAGGGACGACCCAGAGUUGGCCGUAGUACUCUUCCAGAUCCUCAUCCUCCUCUCUCCCUGGGACCUGUCGGUCAGCCCCAGAGCUCGGCCCCGCAGCAAUGGCAGCCGGGAUGUUGCCAGGUGUCGACGAUCGAGCGAUCGGGCAAGGAAUAUUCCCCGCGCGCACCUACCGGGGCAUGGGGAUAACCGUGUGCCGUGCCUGACUCGAGGGAGUCCUCGUGGCGGGGUUCUUAUCCCUCCUAACCAGAGAAGCAAACAGUCUGCGAAUAAGCGGUGGAGCCGCCCUAACCGGCGGCGCGAUCCUAUCGGCGGCAAACGCGCUUGUGGGUGGAACGCGAGAGCGAGGGCGAGCCAUGUACCUUCCCCUACAAAUCUUUAAUUCCAAUUAUUAAUAUAUUUUAGUCGUAUGGACUUAUAAACAUGUGAAAUGAGAAGUACGAAGUAUGGCAACAAUGCCUGCUAGCAAAAGACCCGUGCGUUGUUACGGAACAACAAAAAAUUGUAUCGCAAAUACACUAAGUAGCCACAUAAAACCUCAGCAUCGCUCAGAAACUUGAGGGGAAGAGAGAAUACAGAACAGAGCAGCUCAAGGGUGGUGAUGCUUCAGGCAAAACAGAACAGAGAGAGGAACAGAAGCCGGCAUGCAUGCAGGUUGAAGAGGAGUAUCUGCUCGCACAUCGAAGUAUCUUCAAAAACCAUUUUAUUCAACAUAAUUAUUUAAGGAAAAUCUUUCGUCAUCUCCAGCUAGCACGAAUCGAUAUCCAGCAGUACAUGAAAAAUAACUUACAGACAACUAUUAUUUUCACGCGAGCGACGCGUGGCCAUGCAUGCAUCUUAUCGUGCAUGCAUAUACAAAUGCGAUCGAUCGCGAGUUCACCGAUCGCUUUUACUGCUCGGCGACCAGUGAUCCCUUCUUCUUCUUCUUCAUGGUCACCAAGGUGCUGAAGUUGACAGGGUCAGCAUACCUCGGCGCGGCGCCAUAGAAGACGGCCAAGGCGCCACGCUCACACGUCGCCUGCGUGCCGUGCAGCAUGUCCCAGAACAUGUACUCGCCGUGGUUAUCGGCACACACCCCGGUGCCCUCCGCGCCGCACAUCUUCUCCGCCAUGAACUUCCCGGCCCCGCAGCACGCCGUCUGCACCUCCCGGAUCCCGGCCACCAGCGGGUUUGCCAUCAUGUCCGUCAGGAUGUUAUAGUUACUAGCAAUGGAGUAUCUGAGCUCCGGCAUCGUGGCGGCAGCGGUGCCGGCAAGCUCGAUCCUGAAGAGGCUGUUGAACCACCGGGCAAGGGAGUUGGCCACCUCGUUGCACUCGCCGUCGGGCAUGCCGGCUCUCUGCCCCGGCGUGCACCCGAUCGGCGCCACGUCCAGGAUCCCCACCAUCCGUGCCCCAAGAUUGUACAAGGACUGGAUGUGUUUGAUGUAGGUGGAGACCAGGUUGGCGAUGUAGGCAGGGGCUUCGUUGAUGGAGCCGGUGAAGGCCGAGAAGUCGUUGCCGCCGGCGCUGAGGAGGAACAAGGACUGGGAUAGCAUGGCCUCCUUGCUUGGCAGGCAGACCAUCUUGUCCACGGCUCUCUUGAAGUACUUGAUUUGCGUCGACAUCGUCAACGUCCCGUUUCCCUGCAAUGCAUGCAUGUAUCAUCAUCAUUACUUGGUUAAUUGCCCACAUUCACGGUUGCUAAGAGAUAUACUCUCUCCGUGAUAAAUAAUUAAGUGACUUGAAAUUGUAUAAAUUCUUAUACAAAUCUACGUCAAUUAUUUUGAGACGGAGGGAGUAGAUAGCAUGGGUUUGUUUAAUUACGGUGGUGUCGAGGAUGCCGGAUCCACCGGAGGCGUAGUUGGCACCGAUGUUGCACGUCACCAGGAGAAAUUUCUCGUGCAGCAGCAUGGAUUUGUAGGCCAGGGGGCUCUUCUCAAAUCCCAGACGUUGUGCUGCACCCACAAAUGACACGUAUAUGAGAUGCAGGUACAGAUCGCUGUACGCGUGCGAGCACUAGAAAUUUUUUAUCACUGUUCUUCACAUCGACACACCACACGUCCAUAUCUUGUUGUUUGUCCCCAAUCAAGGGUUUAUAGCAACCUCUAUAUAUCAACAAUUAAUUCUCCGUACGUAUAGUUCGUUCCCUCAUGUGAUGGUUGGCUGUUUGUUUCCAUUGAAUAUUAAUAUAUUUGUAUUCCAGUUUUGCUAUAAAGAAAUCGUGUGCUUUUUAGUUAUUGACGUGCUUGGCCAUGGAAUUUUAAUCAGCAAUAGCACGUGGGAGAUGAGACUGUGGGGAUGAGUCUCAGAUCGAUCUUAAUCCAACGGUUCGGAUACAUCAACUGAGAUUUAAGACCUGAAAAUAGCCAGACCCAUUUGUAUUUUGUUUGGUCGAGUUAAAUUCCUCCGUUCAACCUUAAUAUGUGCACCGUUAUAUAGGGAUACGUGCGUGCAAGUUUGCAACGUUAUAACACAUCUCUCAUGCAUGCAUGCACAUAUAUACUUACAGAUGAUGUCGGCGAGGUUGUAGCCGUUGGUGAAGCGUCCGGUGGGUCUGCCGGGAAGGUCAUAGCCGUAGGGGGAACGCGCCCUGGGCGCCGGUGCCGGCAGGUAGUCGUUGUUGCCGACGUCGACGAGCGAGUCCCCGAACACGUACACGGCGUUCACUAGCUGCCCGGCGGCCGCCGCCGACGAGCACACGGUGGCGGCCAGACCGACGACCACGCAAACCAGCUUCACAAUGCAACAAUUCUUCUUCAUACUCGCUACUACAAAGGCGCAGGGAUUGUUAUAGCAGUGUGAGGAAGCAAUCAAGGAGAGAUUAUGCCUCUAGCUAGCUAGCUACAAUUGACAGCGGCUAGCUAGCUAGGUUUUGGAGUGAGGAUGCUGGUGUGUGAUGGACUGCUAUUUAAAGAGGCCGUCUCGUGAAGAACGUGUAUAGACGUGUGCCUUAAUUAGAUGACGGGCCCAGGGUAAUUAAUUAGUUGCUCUCACACAGCUUUGUAUCUAUUUGAAUAUCGUAUAUGAGUGGAAGAUGGCUAGAGCGCGUGAUGCAUGCGUGAUAGUGAUCGAUCCCGGCUAGUGCACCGGCCGGCGCAUAUGGGACCUUGAGCCGGUGGCACCCGGCCGGCGAGGACGCGGCGUGAUGGCACUGCGCGGCUGCCUUUAGGAUCGUUGAUAUCAGGUUUAACCUUAGUUGAAUCGUCAAAAUCGCUGUAAUUGGUGCAAGUGUGCGACGACCCCUUCUCAAAGACGUUCUCUUGGAUUACAUGCUCUUUAGAACCACACACCCCUAUCCCACCCCACAGAAGUACCAUGCGAAAGAUCUACAUUUUUAAGAGGUACUUUGAGUUUCCAAAAUUAUUUUAUUGCAGAAUCGGCAAUCCAUAUUGAUCAAAUCAGCAUAGAUCAGCAUAUCAGGAUUUAACCUGGUAUAAGUUUCAAGUUUCCGAAGAUGUCAAAACUUCCUCUGAAACUCAUCCAACUCAUGAAUAAGCUAUAUAGAGACAAACCAGUCCACAAGUUCUGUCCAUGCCGUCCAAUUGUCCCUGACAUGGGGUCAUCUUGAUGUAGUACCGUGUUUGAGAGGUAGCGAACUAAAAAUGAAUUCAUAGGCACUCUAUUUGUGUCAUUGAAAAUAAACUCAUAAGAACUGAAAAUUGCGAUUGGAAGUAUGUUUGACAAAAAAAUAUGCUUUUUCUCCAAGUGAAAAACCUACGCUCAUGCCUCUCCGGUGGCUUGACCAGGGAGCAUGUCGAUGCGCACGUGUGUCAUGUCCUCGUCAAAGGCAUUGGCUUGAACAGUUGCUUUGCGAUGAUAAUCUCAUGUUUGACUUUGGGUGACUCGUCAAUAUCAGCGUAAGUGCAACGAUCCCUUCUAAAUUAAAAGAGGUUGUCUUGGAUUACCAUUCUCUCUCUAAAAUCGUCACACCACUGCACCACGUUUCAAGUUAAGAGUCAUUCUGAAAAGCCUCAAAAAGGGUGCAGAAUGACUUCAAAAGUUUUUGGAGGCUUUAUAAAAAAUGACAAGAAAGUUGGGAAAGAGAAAUGUCACUUAAGGCAUUUUGAAAAAAAGCCUGCAAAAAUAAACAACCAAGGCAUUCUUAAGAAAUCCUUCUAUUCCUAACUGUGGCAUACCAGAAAAUGACUCCAAAUGACAAACUGAGGCUUUGAAAAGACAACAGUGCCCGAAGGCAGCAGCCAGCCGUGCAAGAUCUUUACCUCUCCCAUGACUCCCUACUGGCCCGAUUACUUACUCGUAUUUCUUUUCUUAUUUCUAGGGAUAUAUAUAUAUAUAUAUAUGAUUAUUAUAGGGUUAUUAUAUUAGCUAAAUAAGGGCUGUAGUCCUUACUUUUUGACCAGUGGGCGUAGUCCUUAUUCCUAGACUUUCUCUUGUCUCACGUUCUGCCUGUGGAGUUUUAAAGCGAUGAAAUUUCCUGUAAUUUAGCGAUGUGGGACUAAUACCCAGUGGUGAGCGGUGACUACUAGCGGCUGGGGCGGAGGCGGAGUCAGAGCAAGGGAAGGCAGGGAGGAGGUCGACACGGCGGCCGUUCCUCCACGUGAUGGGCCACGCCAUCGCUGGUACCCCAUCAGCUUGCGAGGAGCGUGCGCGGGCGGAGGAGGUGGAGCUGCCCAACUGCAGCGGGGGAUCCGAACCCCGGAGGAGCGGCGGUGCAGCCGGACACGCAGAUUCGCGACGCACAGUGCGGCGGAGGCGGGACCGACGAGUAGGAGAUGGAGCAGCACCGUGGCAGAGAGAGAGAGAGAGAAAGAAUGGAGGGGAGAGAUGGCGGCGGCGGGAGGCAGGCCGCGGGGGUGGGAGUGAGGGGGGUGCCGUCGGCAGUCGUGCAGCCAUGGGCACCCAUGGGUGGUUCGGUGAUUUCAAUGGAUGGACCAGAGGAUAUGAAAAUACACUGAAGUGCGAGGAUUCUUUUGCAUAAUUACUAAUUUUUGAGGCUUUUCUUCAAAAAUGCCUCCGAUGCUGUGAGUUUUUUAUUAGGAUGUUCACAGUUUUUGAGGCUUUUUUAUUAAAAAGCCUUUAAUGUUGAAACUUUUUCAGGCAUUUUAUAAAAAUUGCCUCCGUUUUCGUGUUUUUCAAGGCAUUUCUUGAAUUUGCCUCCUGUUAUGAUUAACCGAGGCUAUUUAAAAAAAUGCUUUCAUCGGAAUGCCUCCAAAACUCAUCCGUGGUAUAGUACAGAAAAUGACUGCAAAUGACACCCUCUGGCACAAGAGUACCAUGCAAAGAUGUUUAAUUUUGAGUUAUACCGCGUGUUCACGUACGGCCCACAGCACAACGUUGCUCACGGGGAGCAGCUAGCUAGCUCGAUCUGCUCCGGCAGCACGGCCGGUUAAUUUCCCACAUUUUGAUGGCUUAUAGCUUCCGGACCGAUCUCGAGCGACGUCGGUCAAUCAUGAUUAGAUCUGACGUACAGUACGAAUGUGAUUGGAGUAGUAAUUGGCACGGGGCCAGGGCCAAUAAUUCAUCCAAGUUUAGGUAGGAACGCGGCCGAUUAAUUGGAGACUGUUGUCUACGCACGUGGUUCGCAUGUCUAGACACGAGAAGGUGCAUAUUGUGGCUAACGUACCGCUAUCGCGGCAAAAAUAUAUAAAGUAAUCGGGGCCCUUAAUAAAGGACGCUAAUAAAAAAGAGACGGGGUGAAAUUUCGCAAGGUCAAGAAUUUAGGGGGCAGAUUUUAUUUUAUUUUGAGGGAAAUUUAGGAGGCAGAUGAGCCUUCCCUCAAAAAGAGGGCUGCAGAUGGGCCUAAAUGGGCCAAUUCGGCUUGAGGGCCACGAGAGAUCACGAUUUGUUGGGCUAAUCACAUAGUUUAGCCUAAUGGUGAUGUCCUCGCAAAAGGAAAAAAAAAAGCACAUGUUCCAUCGAAAUAAAACAAACCGUAAAUAUCGUGAGGCCACAACAUCUGGAUUUCUGGCUUUGGAAAAUCGUAACUUUCGAAAAAAAAACUACGAGUAAUCACAAUUUUUGGAUUAAUUAUGAAUUCAGUUUUAUCCAGAUGACGAAAAUUGAGGCUUUCGAUCGCAAUUUGACCGGCUAGGUGGUGUAUCACUAAGGCUUAAUUUGACAUUGCUUAUUUUAUAACCUGCUAUUAAAAAUACACAGGAAAGAUGGAAAAAAUAGGUUAACCAAAUAAGAAAAUAGCCAAAAGCCGAUUAGAAAAGAUGGAUUAUCAUAAUAAACACAGCCUAAGUGGGAAAAAAGUGAGAGAUGGCUCUCCAACCUCAAUCUAGCUGAUCUGCAGACAAAAUAGAAAACCCAACUGAAGUAAAUAUAAAGAAACUAUAAUAUGAAAAAUCUCACCAUUUUAUUGCCAUAGAAAAUAAAACUUAUCAGCUCUUAACAAAUUAGUUUUGCUACGUUGAAAGGAUUAUUCAAAAUCUAUAAUCUCUAUAAAGUUGAUCCUCACUAAAAGCUAUUAAUGUUUGCAAGCUCAACAUGCAAGGUGUACACAUCAUCAGGUUGAUCUCCACUAAGCACAACGUGCAAAAUGUCCACAUCAUCAAGUUGAUUCCUACUAAUCCAAAUCAUGUGCAUGCAAAGUCUAUAUCACCAUACAUAGCAUAUGCUGCAACUCCACUAGCAAUUCAUUUUGGAUGGCGACACUUAGUCGUCGAGAUGCUUUCUGGUCUCUGAUUUCCCUCAAGUUAGUCCGUUAGGAUGGAAUCGGCAAGCGCUGGCAUAGGUUCCUGUCGUUUCCUUGGAACCACGAGGUUAGAGUUUCUUGCCGUGCUUCCGCGCCGGCAAGAUAUGGUGUCAUGCUCUUUAGGUCAACUCAAGGGUUCAACAACGGCAACUGCGGUUCCGGGAUGUUGGUUCUUAGGGACACUUGCAUGAGAACUCCCUGACUGUCAUCUACAAGAUCAUGCUGGCUACGAUAUGGGAGCGGUGACUGGUGCUGUCAUCAGUUGCGGUAGUGGUCGUCUGGCGUAUACGGAUCUUCAUGUAUUUUUUUAUUAUAUUUGAGAUGGUUUAUAUUUUUUUAUGAACCUUUAGUUAGAUCUGUGUCCUUUUCGCAAAAAAAAUGUUAAUUAUGUUCUCUAUUUAAAAGUACUGUCUUUAUGCCCGUAUGCGUUGAUUACACACCACGAUUCUUGUCUAUACUGAAGGACAUACGACCGACCUGAAACUCCUACGUAGAAGCAAAAAUAUGUUGUGGUUUCUCGAAACUGAAAUCCAAUCUUGGUAGUUGCUGCAAUGUUGGGUCACUUCAGUGUGGUUCCGGGUGGAGAUGGAAGUCUGCAGGGUUUUUUUGCCACUUGAUGUCUGGGUGAUGAGCCCAAGUAGCGAUCAGUUUCGCUGUCAAAAAGCUCUGAUAUCACCAUUUAGGUUAUGGGUUCACAAUUAGCGAAUUGUGGAUACUGCAAAAAGAUCUGAAACCAAAUCCACUCCAAAGUUGUGGUAGCAUGAUAUUAGUAAAAAGCAGUUUGGCAGCACACUGAGCAACUUUCAACACAACUUAAGCAUGUUUUAUGUUCACCUUGUCGCGUGUAUUUUCUCAGUUUUCGACUUACAGGGUCAUGAACGGAUGAACCAGAUCGAUUGUUUUACAUGAACAACUUCUGCAAUACAGGAACAAAGAAAAUCUUUCGUCUGAAAAUGAAUCAACAGGCACAUCAUUUCUGCAGAUUGCAGUUUCUUCAGGCCGUCAGUAAGCGUGCAGUCCAUGAAUCACAAGCAAACCAACAUCUGACCGCAGAUUCAAUUGAGAUUCAGAGCUGCACAGGACUAACCAGUGGCCUCCCGGAGAAGAAGGCGUCGAGGUUGGCGACGAGGAUCUCAAGCGCGCCGCGCAUGGACUCCGGCGUGAUGACGGCCCUGUGGUCCGAGAGCACCACGUUGUCCAUGGCGAACAGCUCCCGCGGCACGGCCGGCUCGUUCUCGUACACGUCGAGGCCGGCGCCGCCGAUGACGCCCUCACGGAGGCACCUGACGAGCUCCGGCUCGUCGACGAGGCCGCCCCGGCCGACGUUGACCAGCACGCCGUCCUUGCCCAGCGCCUCCAUCACCUCCCGGUUGACCAUGUGCCUCGUCUCCUCCGUCAGCGCGCAGGAGAGCACCAGCACGUCGCUGUCGGCAGCGAGGUCAAGCACCGCCGGGAAGAACUUGUAGGGCGCCGCCGGUUUGGGGGAUCUGGAGUGGUAGGAGAUGGCGCAGCCGAAGGCCGCGAGCCGCCGCGCCACGAGGGCGCCGAUGUUGCCCAGCCCCACGAUCCCCACUCUCUUGCCGCUCACCUGUCAUCCGUCAAGACUCUGAUUAAUUUCUCUUCGUGCUUUGGAAUUCGGCAAAUCGCGAGGCAAGAUGAUGAACAAGAUUUGAUGAUGGCCAAGAACAGAGUCUUCUAGUACUACUAGUACUAUAUACGAACCUUGGUGGUUAGAGGGUAGUCGCCAUCGGCGGCCCAUCUGCCGCUCCGGACGAACGCGUCCGCGGCGGCGACCCUGCGGAGCACGGCGACGAGGAGCCCGACGGCGUAAUCGGCCGAGUCGGCGGCGAACGCGGCGCCGGCGUUGGUCACGGCGAGCCCGCGGCGGCGGCACGUGUCGAGGUCCACGUGGUCGACGCCGACGGAGGUUGCCGCCACGAGCUCCAGCGCCGGGAGCGAGCCCAGGAGCUCGGCCGUGACCCGCGCGAGCCCCGGCACGAGUAGCACCCGCGCCUCGGCCGCGGCCGCCGCGUCGGCGUCGGCGGCCAGAGCGAAACGGUAGCGGCCGGCGAGCGCCGCGGCGAACUCCGGGAAGAGCGGCUGCGCCAGGAGCACCAACGGCCUCUCGUCAGUGUGCGAAGGCGGCGGCGGCGUGGUCUCCAUUGGGAUCGCAGCCAAAUCACUACGCUCCGUACUCCGUAGGGGGAAGGGGAUGGAAUCAGUUGUCGUCGCUGCUUUGGAGUGACGGAGACACGCCAGCAGCAGACACACGGUGGGCAUGUCCUGCGCUCACAUCUGGAAUCUACCUACCGGUUAAAAAUAAUAAGAAAAAAAACUAUCUUAAAAUAAAAUAAAAUACCUGGCGUUUUUUCUGCUCCUUCCAUAUUGGUCUAACAAUACGGAGCAUAUUAGGGUUCGGUUGAUAUGUGACUGAUCAUAAUCAUAACCAUAAGCAAAUAUAUUUGAGUAGGAAUAUAGUGGAUAUGAAUCUAUGUCAUAUAAUUAUAUAUUAAUAGAGUAAUUUGUGGUUAAAACAUUGGUCAAAAGAAAGUUAAUAUGCCCCUUAUUGUUGGACGGAGGUAGUAACAGAUUUGUACAGACCUUUAUCUUGACAGUAGACCAUAAAACGCUAGAACUUAAUAAACUAGAUGAUCUCUGGCACGUUGUUGUGGAAAGUUUUAAUUAACAUAUAUAACGAUUCGUUCCGUGUAGGUAUUGGGGAACAUGAAAUUGAAUUGGUCUUGAGUAUCCAAAAUUAAAAGCAAAUAAUGAAAUUGUAUGAUAGAUCUUUCACUCGGUGCGGAUAGCUUGAUGAAAAGUAGCAUGAUACAUGUACAGAAAAUAUGGAUUUUUUAUAAAUAGGUGUGAACAAACGACGUAUAUUUCUAUUGCAAUCUAGGUUGCUCCGGUUAAUCAUCCACCCAAAAAGAUAUUGAGUGUGGGAUUUCGUUCUCCUACUAUUCAAAUAGCCACCAUUUUUUUCAAAGCAAUUGAACUUCUGUAGCAAGGGUGGCCAUCUGAGUUAACGUUAGCAAACAUUACUAGGCUGGACCAUGACCACCGUCAGCAAUCCAGGAUUAUAAACCUUCCUAAGAAUAAUAUAUGCCGGAAAUAGUAAGCUCAGGGUGCUUAUUCUCGAAAUUACUUAAUUUUCCAAUAAGAAAAUGGAGGUUCAAUUUUGAUAGGGUCUACAAGAUCAGGUUUAAAAUGAAGUUGAUCUGGUUGAGCCCCGCGCACUCCGGGAGGUCGAUCUGGUUGAGCCCCGCGCUCACAUUGACGACGCAGCGCAGCGACGGGACGGCGUCGAAUAGCUUGGCGUCGACAAGGACGCUCCCGCGGCCGGGGAUUGCUGACCGGCUUUCUCCCCUGUUCCUUCGCUAAUGUACAGAUCCAACUGUGGAUAUCGCGGGACAUACUCUGCCUUCUCAUUGCCAAUCCAAUCGAUCAUCAAAGGCCAAAAUUAAGCUGCCAAGACACGACACACAAUAGUUAUCCAAGUGGCAUGCCACAGGAACCAAUCAGUUGAGAUCAAGAUUACCAAAACGGCCCAUGGCGGCCGCCGCGGAGACGCCUCCGUCCGUCAGCGGGAAGCCACCACUCCUCCUCCUGCGCCGCACCACCGGCCGUCUCGCCGCCGCGCUGCGCUCGCGCUUCCAGGUCCUCAGCUUCCACGACUCGGGGGGCGCUCCCCUCCAUGCCUUCCUCGCCGCCUCCGGCGCCUCGGAUCCCCCGCGCGCCGCCCUCGUCCCCGGCGGAGGCGGCAUCGCCGUCGACGCCGCCUUCCUCGACGCGGCGCCGCACCUCCGCUGCGUCGUGACCACCUCCGUCGGCACGGACCACAUCGACCUCGCCGAGUGCGCGCGCAGGGGCGUCGUCGUCGCCGGCGCCGGCGGCAUCUUCUCGGCCGACGUGGCCGAUCACGCCGUCGGACUCCUCAUCGACGUGCUCCGCCGCGUCUCGGCGGCUGACCGGUACGCCCGGCGCGGGCUCUGGCCGGUGCGCGGGGAUUACCCGCUUGCCUCCAAGGUUCGUCAACGUUUCUUGUAUUACAGUAGUUCACACUUCCAAUUGCUUAUGAAGGAAUUGUUCAAGCACACCAACAUCGGAGAACUAGAAUUCGCUCUGUUUUUGUGUUCAUAAGAGCAAAAACAUGGCUCGACUUGGCUUCGAUCAAACUGGGCUGGGGAGACAUCUCUGUUCUUCAUAUUUUCAGGACCUAUAAAUACACAGUUUUAAAAAUUGGGGACAGAUUUGAUGCCGUUGAGAACCUCCAAUGUAUCUUACUCUACAAAUAAUUACCCCAGCUGAAAGUGAUUCCAAAUGCUAAUAUAUAUUUCUCAUGUUGUACCAGCUUAGUGGCAAACGGGUCGGCAUCAUCGGUCUGGGGCGCAUUGGUUCAUCAAUCGCAAAGAGACUCCAAGCAUUUGGCUGUGUCAUCCAUUACUACUCUAGAAGACCCAAGGAGACCGUCUCCUUCAAACACUUCCCUGAUGUCACCGGCCUUGCCGUUGAAUCCGAUGUACUCGUGGUCGCCUGCGCCCUGAACGACCAAACACGGCAUGUUGUCAACAAGGAUGUCCUAGAGGCACUAGGAAAAGAUGGUGUCCUGGUGAACAUCGCCCGGGGUGGGAAUGUCGACGAGGCAGCAAUGGUCAGGGCGCUAAAGGAGGGAGAGAUAGCCGGUGCGGGACUCGACGUCUUUGAGACGGAGCCUGCCGUGCCACCGGAGUUCUUCUCCAUGGACAAUGUUGUGCUCACGCCACAUGAUGCCGCCUUUACCACUGAGUCAGGCUGUGACCUGUGCGACCUCAUGGUCACGAACCUAGAGGCGUUCUUCCAAGGUAAACCAUUGCUCACGCCUGUCCUUCCCGAUUAAAACAGCAGUCACACGAUCCAAAUCGAUCAGGUAUUCAAGUUGCAUAUACUCCCUCCCUCCGUUACUUAAAUUAGGUCGUAUAUUGUUUUCUUUGACAGAGCCUUUGACCAAGGAUUAUUCCAUCGACGUAUGACUUAUGUGAUACAAAACAUAACUAUAAACAAGUAUUUUUGAAUACGAAUACAAUGAUAUCAAUUUUCUGGACGCUGCUAAUGCGCGACCGUGCGCGCGAUGGUACGGCCGCGCGUACGCGCGAUGGUACGGCCGCGCGUACGAGUCACAGGCAGCAGUAUGGUAUGAAGACUGUGUGCAUGCAUGCGAGCAAGUCGAUACUUGCAAAAUUUUAAACUUUGAAAAGCUGAAACUUUCAAACCGUUUACUCGAUUUAAAAUUCGUCUUGACGGUUAGCUUUGUCUCGACGAGAUCUUCGAAACUAGGUCUCAUGUUGUUAUGUUUCGACAAAAAUAAAUCAAUCCUAAAAGUUAACAUCUAAUAAUAUACGAAGUUACCACUCCGUUAAUAAUAAGUUGCCAUGUGGCAGCUUCAUACAAAAUAGGGGCGAUAUCUCACGAAUGAAAGUUACCACCCAGUAAUAUACAAAAUACCACUUUGUUAAAUAAUAAGUUGGCAUGUGGCAGCUUCUUGCAAAAUAGGGGUGGUAUCUCGCGAAUGAAAGUUACCCACCAAUAAUAUACAAAAAUACCACUCCGUUAAUAAUAAGUUGCCAUGUGACAGCUUCAUACAAAAUAGGGGUGGUAUCUCGCGAAUGAAAAUUACCACCUAAUAAUAUACAAAAAUACCGCUCUGUUAAUAAUAAGUUGCCAUGUGGCAGCUUCUUACAAAAUAGGGGUGGUAUCUCACGUUUGAAAGUUUACACCCAAUAAUAUACGAAUAUACUAGUCUGUUAAUAACAAGUUACCACGUAGUAAUUCAUAUUAAAUAGGGAUGGUAACUCGUGAAUGAAAAUUACCAUCCAAUAAUAUACGAAGUUGUCACUCUUUUAUUAACAAGUUACCACUUCUUACAACAUGACAACUUCUUUCAAAAUAGGAUGUUAACUUGUGCAUUUCUGCUUGGUAACUAAAGAGUUCAAUUUUUUUUUAUCAAAACACAUUAGAAUGGGAUUUAGAUUUAAAGCAUUCGUCGAUACGAAACCAACGGUGAAAACGGAUUAUGAAUAGGACAAACGGUUUGUGCUACAGAACAUUUUAAAGUUCUAAAAAUGAAGUAGCACACGUCUCAAACACUUAACCAGCUCACUGCGGUCCAUGCCAAAGAAACCAGCGCAUGCAUACACAAAAUUUCAUGGGACGGUGCAUGCAACCGCGUGUGCGCGCGGAUACGAACGGACGUUUUAGGUAAUUUUAUUUCACAAAAGUUAUAUAUUAAUAGACUAAUUUUUGAUCAAAAACUCGAUCAAGGAAACAAUAUAAACCUUAAUUUAAGGUACAGAGGGAGUACAAUACUAGCUCUAGCUGGCUUGUACCAAGGCCCAAUCAAUGGCGAAAAUACUGGUGGAGGACUGGUGGUUACAUAAAAACACGCAUCAAUUGGCUCCGCCAUGAUAUAUGGGAUCGCCACGCGCUGCUGGCUCCAGUCUCACGGCACAACAUGCAGUGUCCGAUAGUUGUAGUGUCCGAUAGUUGUCAGUGGCGUAGCCAGGGGGGUUGCCGGGUGGUCCAUGGACCACCAUGAGAUUUUCCAAUCCUUUAUAUAACAUAGUUAAAAAAAAUCAAAACAUCAAAAUAACUAAAUUUAUAUGAAUAUUUUCACUGUUGGACCACCCUGAAAAUUUUAGCUGGCUACGCCACUGAUAGUUGUAGACAUGGAAUGAGCAUGCAUGCACAUCCUAUGUUCUUCUUUUCAUUAAUAAUUGUUUGAAGAUAUUUUUUCUAGCAUUUCUUUUUGGGGAGCGCUAGGCGUCGGUCGGGCGAUCUUGGGACAAAAUCGGUCUCCUUCCGCGCCAUACGAUUGGAAUGCCCACGUUUGUUGGAUCUCAUGGCCUCGUCCAUCUUCUUCGUGUCUCUCUAGUCUCCCGCAACGGAAGAAAAAUUCCCCAUCCUCGUCUCCCCGCACACCACCCAGUCCAUGGACCUCUUCACGGCAUCAUGCUGGCUUGCAGCACCCUCGGUGGCUGGCCGCACCGCCGGUGCGAGACGGCGCCGCCUUGCAGCCCCGCCACCUGCCGUCGUCAUUGCCUUGCCAGAUUGCCGGCGUGAGGGGCCGGCUUGCAGCAACGGUGCAUGCAUGUCACAGCUCCAAGCAUCCUCCUUCGCAGCACCGCCGCUCACCCGUCGCAGCAUCGCCUCGCGGCACCGUCGAACCCCCCUCGCAACACCACUGACCUGGCCUCACAGCAACGCCACAUCUCGUUUGAAGCACCGACGACCUCCGUGCCAUUAUUUCGGUGCUUACGACUUUACCUCUAUAUAUGGAAUUAGCAUCAUGUUUGCACCUGUCAUUAGCACUAGCUGUCCUUAUGCAAUUCCUUAUAAAUGUUGAGCCCUUUUACGGUGAUUGGCAAGUACUUUUCAGUACUUCUCAGUACUCCCGUGAAAAUUAAUUCGGUCCGUUGAUUAUCGGGUCACCUAGGCAUUCCAGUUAGGGAUGUCAAUCGAAAACCUUGCCCAAAAAUCGGCAAAGCAGCAGUGCAGCGGAGUCGUGACAGUGGCAGAAGUUGGCUCCGGCGAGGUGGCAUGCAGGCAACGCUGCUGCAUACGUGGCUGCUGCGAGGAGAGGGAGCUGCAUACGUGCCAUGAGUCCCAUGACUGCUGCGGAGAUCCUCAAACAGCUGCACGCGCAGACGGCUGCAUGCGUGGGGAUGCGCUGGAUGCGUGCUGUUGUGCGGAAGUCCGCCGUGAUUAUCUAAACCAAUCUAUAACCGUGUGCGUUCGUUCGUGGCAUCGCAGGGCUGUCUGACCCGGCCGAUCCAUUGCCCGGAUCUGCAGGCGUAAGUUUAGCGAGCCCCAAAAAUAAAUCGAUAAUUCUGAUUCUUUCCAGUACUUUUUAGUACUUUUCUUUCAGUACUUUCCAUUACUUUCUAUUUCUCCACAGUUGGAUCAACUAGAUUGGACGGUUCAUAAAAUCGCCAACCAUUGUAAAACUUGUAAUAAAUGUUAGUGCAAUCAACCUGAAUUCUGGUUCUAUUUAAUUGCAAUUUCUUGAAGGCUGGCACAGAGUUUGUGGGUUAGAACUAUGCAGGUAGUCUUGUCCUCCCUCUCUUUUAUUUAUGCUUAUUAAUUUUUUCCAUUAAUAGUGAAACUCAUCAUUAUUAUUUUCUUCUAAGGGCCUUGUGAUGUUUGUGGCCAAGUGGGCCAUGCAAGAUGAAAGCAAAGGAGAAGAGUUUCUUCUCCAUUGAUCUAAUCGAGUUCUUUUAGGAAUAUGUAGUGUGUAUGUUACUUCUGGAUUUUUACAUUUCGCUUCCAAUAUUUCUUUGCUUCUGGACACUUUCGUGAGGGAACGCAGAGGUUUCGUCGAAUAAGCAGUGAACAGGUAUUUAUUUCUCGUUUUGCCUUGCUGCGAUCUAUUUCUUUGUUGUCACUAAAAUUGCAUGCAGUUUACUACUUGCAAUCGAGCAUCGCAUGAAAUGCAAUUGAGGUAACACUGGAAUUGCAGCCCGGUUUUAAAUUUUGUUGAUUGUUACUUUUUUUACAUCACAGGAAUCCCAGUUGCGUAACACUGGCAUUGCACAUAGCCUAACAUGUGCAAUAGCAUGUCUUACACAUGCAAUUGAAAUUGUUUCUCAUUGCGCACCAGUAAUUAUGUUCAUUACUGUUUGAUUCUUAGUUUUCAAAUUGUCACUCAGUUAGUGUAUUGUGUUUCACUUUGUUGUAGCUGAAUGCGUGUAGGUGCCUGUUUAUUUAGUUCUUUAUGUGUCUGGUUUCUUUUUUAAUGUGCAGAUGACUGGUUUUUGGGCAGAAAUCAGGCGCCUGAAUUUUUGUGUGAAAUCAGGCGACUGAUUUCUGGGCAGAAAUCAGGCGCCUGCUGUAUAGACAGACCCAAUUAACAUAACAGCAUAAUAAGAAUUCCCAAACUUAAGCAUCUUCACACAAUACAUAGUCUCGUACACAAUCUUUACAACAAUAUCUUAGGACAGGAAGCACAAUCGACAAGUCCUAACUUUCACAUAAUAGUAAGCAUAUGUGAUAUGAAUCAAACCCCAUCAUUCAACAUUCAACAUCUCUCCAACCAUGCACAACAGUGCUUCACUAGCACGCUGUCUCUUUGGUGUUGUAAUUAACAAAUGGAGACAUGUGAUUGUCUUGUGGUGUUGGAUCUAUCUCUGUGUCAUUAAUUGUCCUAGUACAUGCCUUCACCGGUGCCUUUAUCUUUUGAGUAUAUGAUACAUAUCUCAUUCCGGUUGUGGACAACUUUAUUCCUGUAUAUAGCUACGUUUUCUUUUCUUUUUGAAAGGAUCCCUGCAAUAUAUUAAUAUCAAGGUGGAACUGAAGUAGCUCCACAGGAUGUUACAACCCAAGAUAAGGCCUGAGGACAAGCCAGAUAAAUGAAAAUUACAUCAACACCUUCAGUGAACACGUGCACAACAUACAGACUAGUAAGACUCCACGCGGCCGUCCGCCUUGCUUGGGUUGCCACGCACGAGCACACGCGUCCGAUGGACUGAUCUGCCGCCGACAAAUAUUCAAUUCGCCAUGGGCGAACGUCGUUGAGGUCGGCCGCCACCAGCAGACAGAGAAGCCAAUCGGACCAAAAACCUCCCGAUGAUAUGAAACCGGAGGUUGAAGAUGCCGUCAAGACUGAAAAUGUUGGAGAAGAACCUGCCUUGACAGCAAUUGGAGGAGCCGUCGACGCCAAAACAUCCUUUUUAGCGCAAGCAUCAGACGGCCAGUACUGAAAAUUGCCCUGGAACGGGCUGCAACCACUAACCGGGGUCCUGUGAAGAGCCACCGCACCCGUGGCAUGUUCGCCAUGCCCAAGAACCGCGUCGCGGGCCUCCGAAGUGGAGGUUGAUAAGGGCAGUGUCGACCAAUCAAACGGAUCCAGUAACAUUGACUAGCCUUGCUCCAAUGCAAACAAUGAGGAGGAAAAACUUCAUCGGAGCAAAACAGAGAAGAGACCAAAGGUUUUAAAGGGGAAAUAUGUCUCAACUCAAAACCAGUCCACAAGGAACCCAUAGUGGUUGAGAUUGAAGAUUCAGAGCAAACUAGCCGGAAGCGGAUUUUUUGAAGAUUAAAUCAGGCAGGUCAACAACGGAAGGAUUGCAGGGCAAAUUAUUGGAUUCGCUGGGAAGAGAGAGGCAAUUAUUUAUAGAUGAUGCAGGGGUAGAGAUCAAACCGUCGGCAUCCUGUCCGGGAGACCCGGCACCAAUUCCGUCAGCAAGAACUACCACACUUCCAUGCCGCCGGAGCCUCCCCGCCAGCGACAAGAAUCCUCCCGAAAACGCCUCUAAGGCAACUGCAACUACGAUAAUGUACAAGGAGAUGAAGGUGGCUGGCCUGGCCUCCCCUCCCCUUCCUCUCCGGGCAGCAAAGCCGCUGGAGAGUUCUCUUUGGGGAGAGGAGGCGGCGAGAGGGCUCGGAGUUGUAGCAAUAGGAAGAGAGGAGAGAGAAAGAAAAGAAGAAAUGAACCCCAGCUACUUUUUCUUUAGUCUUGAUUCAAAUUUUCACUUUUGUGACAUCUCCACGCUUCUUAUUACAACUAUUACGGCGUUAUUGUACACAUGUGGUUUCCAUCCAUUUUGAACAUGAACACCAUUUUUGUGAUGCUCAACAAGCACGUCCAACGAUGCUUGGUCCAUCUCAAGAGACCAUUGCACAUAGUUCCUAGCACUGAGCUCCAGACAAAAAAAACGCAAACGACACGCCUUCCUCGUGGUACGCAUGUGCGCGUGCAUCAGAUGGGAUCUCAGCCCUUCAAGUUGUCAACGUUCAGAUGCUGUCUCGUUGGAAGAAGAUACUCACGACCCAAAUCAUCCUUGGUCUUGAUCAGUUCCAAAUGGGUUGUUGUAGGAGAGUCUCAGUGUUAAUCACUACUAGUAGCACAGAUAAUUCCGUCCGCUCCCAAUUAAAUCGGUUGUUAGAGAGUACUAGAAUCAAUUAGCACAAAUCAGCAGCUGCUGAUUCCUGUCUCAUUCCAUGAUUCCAUCGCCUCCCAAUUCACCAAGUCCCAACCGGCCGGGCGAUCCCAGAUUCCCAGCGCAAAACAAUGCCGGCGCCCACCGGCGAGAGGCCGCUGGUGCUCCUGGCGCAGCCGCUCUUCCCUGAGUUAGCCGCCGCGCUCGCCGGCCGCUUCCGGUUCGCUCUUGCCGCGGACGCCGACCCGGCGGCCGCGGCCGAGGCGAGGGUGCUGCUCGUGCCGAGGCUCGCGCCGGUCACGGCCCAGCUCCUGGGCGGGCUCCCGGCGCUGGAGCUGGUCGCGGCCACGACGGUGGGCGUCGACCACGUGGACCUCGAGGCGUGCCGGCGCCGCGGGCUCUGCGUCACCAACGCCGGCGCCGCGUUCUCCGUCGACUCCGCCGACUACGCCGUCGGGCUCGUGGUCGCGGCGCUCCGCAGGGUCGCCGCCGCCGACGCGUUCGUCCGGAGCGGCAGGUGGGCUGUCAACGGCGACUACCCUCUAACCACCAAGGUGAGCGGCAAGAGAGUGGGGAUCGUGGGGCUGGGCAACAUCGGCGCCCUCGUGGCGCGGCGGCUCGCGGCCUUCGGGUGCGCCGUCUCCUACCACUCCAGAUCCCCCAAACCGGCGGCGCCCUACAAGUUCUUCCCGGCGGUGCGCGACCUCGCAUCCGACAGCGACGUGCUGGUGCUGUCCUGCGCGCUGACGGAGGAGACGAGGCACAUGGUCAACCGGGAGGUGAUGGAGGCGCUGGGCAAGGACGGCGUGCUGGUCAACGUCGGCCGGGGCGGGCUCGUCGACGAGCCGGAGCUCGUCAGGUGCCUCCGCGAGGGCGUCAUCGGCGGCGCCGGCCUCGACGUGUACGAGGACGAGCCGGCCGUGCCGCGGGAGCUGUUGGGCAUGGACAACGUCGUGCUGUCGGGGCACAAGGCCGUGUCCACGACGGAGUCUAUCCGCGGUGUCGUUGAGAUCGUUGCAGCCAACCUCGACGCCUUCUUCUCUGGGAGGCCGUUGGUCAGCCCUGUACAACUCUGAAAUCAUUUGGUUUUGAUGGAAUGAAUCCGCCCUCCAAUGCUGUGUGCUUGUGAUUUCGUUUUGAGGAGGAGCAGCAAUUGCUUCAGCCUUCUCCUACGUCACGCCGUGCCUGUCCUCCCCGUACUGCCUCACCGUCUUGGUACGUACGUGCGCGCAACCUGUGAUAAUUUUUCAUGUCGAUGGUGCAGCAGAGCGCCGUGCGGUGCCACAGCGAAGACGUCGCGUCGAGAAGAUUAGCCGGUGUCCACGAGUGGUCGACGUGAUCGCUGCCGGGUUGCGAGCCAACUUCCCAGUGGAGGCACCUGGGUGUUGGACCAAGACGGACAAAACGGACGAGGGCUUAAACAAGCUAGCGUUUUUCGAAUGUUGAAAUUUCAGAAACUUUGUACGGAGUAAUUUCUAAAGGUUGAAUUCUUUUAGAAGUUGGAAUUUCUGAAAGAAGGAUUGUUCUGAAAGCUGAAAUCCUAAAAGUAAUUUUUCCAGUUACUCAAAAAAGUGAAAGUUAUAGUUUCUGAACACACAAUUGGUGCUCAAGUUUCUGAAAUCAAGCAUAAAAUGGGAGAAGGGAACCUGUUGGGAAAUAGGAAUCUACGAAAGCGACUGCUUGGCCGCUAUCCAAAGAGAUAAGUACUCUCUCUGAUUCUAAAUUCUUGAAUCAAAUUUGUCCAAAUAUGGAUGUACCUAUUCUUAAAAUGCGUCUAGAUACAUGUAAUAUUUUGACAACAAUUUAGGAUCGGAGGGAGUAUAUUACAAAACUGGACCAUUCAAAAUGUGGUUUAAACAUAUUUGGCAGGUUUUGCCAAAAAUCUUGUUCUCAGCCCAGUGUUAAAAUUCCAGCUUCAUUGAAAAACGACCGGCGGAAAAUGACAUUUUUCUUAGGCUCAAAUUUUGAAUUCAAAAAGAGUAAAUUACAAAUGUUCUUGUCACUUGUGAGCCUACUUUUAAAAUUUCAGCGCAUUUCGCCAAUAUGACCUGCCAAUCAACUCGGUUAAAACCCAUCACGUUUGCGAAAACCAUCUUCUGACUAGGUUGCCAGAGGGAAAUUUAAUCGGUAUGAACAGUUGGCUGUGAUUAGUUCAGAGUUGCAACAUGGACUUAUCUCAAUGCUAUACCACAUUGAAGCCCACGAUGAGGUUCAUUUUUUUGAGGGUAAAGACUGUAGGCAAAAAUGCCUACAGUCAUAUAUAUUAAAAAAGAGUAACUGUACAGAUGAAAAAUGAAAGAACAAACAUGAAAGAGCUAUCUGAAUCUAGCCAGCCAAGCGGCCAUGUUGGAGUAUUGUUUUCUUUUAGCUCUAUGAAAGACCAAAUUCAUCUCUUCUUUGAAAAGCUGCCUGCAUCUGUAGAGGUUGGGGGUUCGCUGGUUGAAGAUGAAGUCAUUUCGAACUUUCCAAAUGCUCCAAGCACCCAUGAUGAUAAUCUCCAUGAAGAAAGGAACCUUGAGUUUGCGUUUGAGUGAUUCCACGUUUAAAUGAACAUUUGCAACUGGAGUGAAGCUGCCACAUAAGUAGGCCCAGCAAGUUUUUGCAAAUGCACAGUGAAAGAACAGGUGAUCUCUUGUUUCUAAAUGUAGAACACCACAUAAGACACAAUCAUAUGAUGGGAGCUGAAAUGACCUCUUUUGAAGCAUUGCUCAAGUAUUGAGGCGAUUAAUGAGGAGCAUCCAGAAGAAGAAUUUGUGCUUCAGUUGGCAACAGGAUUCCCAGAGCCAUCCAAAAUCAGAUGGUAAUUCCAGGUGAUUAAUUUGAGCCUUAUAAGCCUCUGCUGGGAUGAAUGAGCCCUUGUUCCAAAUGUAAGUCCACAUGUCGUGACCAUCAGCUUGGGCAACAUUAUCCAGCAUAACAAGGAACUGGAUGAAUUGGUCAAAGGCAGUAAGUGACAAGGGGAGAUGAAAGAGAGUCUCCUUUUGUUCAUUCUGCAUGAAGUCUUGGACACUGGCAUGCUCGUUUCUGGCAAAGGAGUGGAGGUGCGGCCAUCUGUUUUCUAGGGUGUUCCCUUGCCAGUGAUCAAGUCCAAAAAAAUGUGGAGGCCCCAUUGCUAAUCUUUGCCACAGCAAGUCGCUUGAAAGUGUCAAUCAGUUUGAGAAUGUCUAACCACCAGAAAGAUUCAGUGGUUGGUUUUUGGGGAGGGAGACCAUUGUGGUAGUGUUUUUUCCGGACAAAUUGGACCCAUGGGAUGUCCAGCCUGUUAUAGUGUGCAGAUUCUUCAUGAGGAGUGUCUGAUUUUGUAUGUUGAUGUUAAUGACACCCAGGCCACCUUCUUUUUUAGGUCUGCAGACGAUCUCCCAAGCAGCAAGAGGUGGAUUCUAACGGGUGAGGUCUUGUCCUCUCCAUAAGCAAUGUCUUCUGAGUUUGUUAAUCUGUUCAAUGACACCUUUAAGAAGAAGGAAGGUGCUCAUGUAAAAAGAUGGCAGGGCCGACAAAACAGAGUUAACCAGCCGAUGAGGUUCAUCUCUGGACAUUAGACUUCCGUAUCCAUAUUUUGGUGAGUUUUAUCGAUACAGGACGUACAUACACUAUAUUUCGACGGCUCUUAAUUAUUUAACUCAACUUUAUAAGGAGAUGGGUAUCCAAGAAAAUAAAGUUGUUACAAUCAAAUCAAGGAGGGACGAUUAGAUCAGCAACCACGACCAUCAAAGUGAUAGCAGUUGAGCUCAUCGAUGGCCUUCUCGGCAUCCUCCCGGCGUUGGAAGACAACGCAGGCAAAGCCCCUACACACCUCCGGGGCGUUCAUGGCAACGUGCCACAUCCUCAGCGGCCCGAACCGGCGAAGAGCGCGGCGAGGCGAGCCCGGUCCGGGCAGCGCUCCGGCAUGUUGGUGACGCGCACGAAGCGGCGCAGGUAGACGCGGUGGCCGGACGGCGCUUCCGUGUCCUCCUUCCAGGCGGCGAACCUUGCCCUGCAGGACACGUACCCGGCCGGCGAAACCAGGUAGUCGUAGGGGCAGGCGAGCUCGCCGUGCUUCUCCUCCGCGUCCUCUUCCCCGCAGAUGCAGCACGGCUCGGCGCUCGGGUCCUUCCAGAAGUUGAUCAUCGUUCGUCGUGUCACCUGCAGCAGCGUCCUGUUCCAUUGAUUCGGUGCCUUGCCUUUUACUUGCAUCGGGCGCGUCCGAUCCGAGUCCCGAUCGAAUUGGAAUUGGACGUGUCCAGAUCCAGAGCUUCCAGUUAUAUCUGAGCAAUUAUAAAUUCACCGCAGGGUCGGCCGGCAGGAUCGCCAAGGGGAGGGCAAGUCGAGGAGGAGAUGGCCGGCCGCAGCCAACGGAGGAUGAUCAGCCACAAGAAGAAGAGAAAAACCAGAGCGGCAACGAUGAAGAAGAUUGUCAAGGAGGAGUCUACGCCUGUACGCCAGCUCCGCAAGGUUCGUACGUUUUUGGACAAACAAACCUGAGCUCUUGUUUAAUUUGCUACCUACUUUCUCCCUUUAAAUUCUUGUACUCUCCAUGUCUAACAAAAAAUGUCUUAAGUUUGUCAAAAUUUGGAUGUAUCCAGACAUGAGUUAGUGUAUAGACGCAUUCAAAUUUAGUCAAAGUUGAAAUAUCAUUUUGUUGGACAGAGAAAAUAGUUGUUUUAGUAUAAAUUUAAACUAAAACAAUGAGAAAAUUUUAGGAAAAGGAGAAUAGAUAAUUAUUGUACCUCCGAAGUGACUUGUCAACAAAUACGAGUACCCACACAUCUGAAAAGCCAUCCGACUCAAAUCCUCUGCCGCGGGCAUGGGACGCAUAAGCCGGCAGCAGGACACGGUGGGCGAGGCUUGUUAAGUUCCUAUACAACAUUUACUACAGUACUUUCUUAAGAAAUAAAGAGGGAUGCUAGCACAACCCCUAAUCACCCCAUCCUCUAAUAAAAUUCCACUUGACACCCUCUAGCAGAUCCUCUAAAUAAUGUUCUUUUUAACGAAAACACCGGCACCGAUUCAAUUUAAGAGUCUGAAUGUAAAGGAACGCGAAUGCGCCUUAGCCAUAAAAGGUAAAGAAACACCCUCAAGCAUGUAUGUUUAGAUCAGCAUGGGGUGAUUUUUACAAUGUAUACCGUAUUCCAAUGAAAAAUUAGCACCAUGAAAUUUUAGGCCAAUGUUUGCCGCAUUGCCAUUGUUUCCAUCCAUGGCCUCGACACAACACCCCGUCCUCCCCCUCCCGGAUCGUGCCACGGCCCCUUCGCCCCGCCCUUUGCUGCCUUUGUGAGAGUGUUCCUCCCAACACCCCCAACACGGUGGGGCUUGCGCCACUGGCGGAACAAGAUGACUCAUGGAGUCAGGGCAAAUCCAUGCAACCGCUCCGAGAGAUAAUUGCCCAAAAAUGUUAGCCUCCAAUCACUUAAUUAGCCAACACUACAUCCGUUCCUAUAAAUAUAACAUGUUCUACUUUUGUGCGAGAUCAAACUUCUUCAAAUUUGAUCUAAUCUCUAUACAGAAUAACAAUAUUUUUUCCGAAACCAAAGAAAUAUACUAAUAUUAGUCCUGUUCGUUUGGCUCUGAUUUGACUAUGCUUAUUAUUCUUGUUGUUUAUUCCAUUUCUAUGAACCAAACAACCAAGGAAAAUCGUUCUGUUUUUGCAUAUACAUAAGUAUCACAUUUGUGUCUUUAUUUCAUGUUUUUCUCAGACAAGGAGCGCCGCAGUGACAAGAGUACGUGUGACGUGUGUGGAAUAGGCAGAAUUCACGAACAGGAUGAGUUCUGCCCCUACAACUACAUGCACGGGGUUUUCGGCCUCAGGACCUGCAGAGAGCGGUGCCAACCGGGGAUGCAUCCGCAGUUGCUAGCCUUCGCCCAUGGGAGCCACCACCAUCUACGGCGUGUUGUACGCGUGACCAAUGUUCCGAUGAGCGUCAUCCGCGGCAAAAGCGAGCUGCGUGGGCUCUUCAGGCAGUUCGGGCCACUUGCUAGGCGCAACCUCACGACCUUGAGCCUCGAUGACUCCGUCGGCUUCGGGUGGGUGGCGUUCGAGAGCAGUGAGGAUGCGGAGGAGGCCAUCGACAAGCUCAACGGCCACCUCGUCGGCGAUCGCAAGCUCCGAGUUACUGGCUCUAUCCUCACACCUGAAUGCUUCUAUUUUCAUUAGAUGAUCAGGGAGUCGCGCCCCCCGUUUCCAAUUUCAUUGAAACCCAUAGAAAAACAACAGAACAUGGUCUUUGUAACAGACAACAUAGAAGGUAAUGUUCUAAAGCCAUAUCCAAAAGAUCACCACGCAAGGGGAAAGAUCAAGCCCCGCAAGGCGCCGAGCAAGCAGCACAGGAAGACCGAAGCCUGGACUUCUUCAUGGCCAUGGGCGAUGCCGGGGAGUGCAGCUCCAAAGGUCCGGUUUUUUCAACUAGGCUAGAAACCCGAAUAAACCCGAAACACCUGGUCAAUAUGUAAAAUCACAGUGCCCAACGGAAUCAACUCGAGAAGAGCAUCUUCAGCAGAGCUCCUAAACAGGGUCUUGUUUUUAAGGACCGGAGGUAAAAAAAACUCUUUUGAACAGGAUCACUGUUAGAGUCUCUAUUCUGAAGAGACCCCUUGAUUAGCCCUCAAGCCCCCGUUCCUAGGGAACCCCAACCCCCAAGGAGAGCCCCUGCUUUCUUUCUUCCAACGCCAUGUCAUCUUUCUUCCUCCUUCCUGCGCGUGCCUUCGUCGCCGCCCCCGCGCCUCACCGGCGGCUGCCUCUGCCUCACCGUAGCCGCGCCUUGCUGCCGGCCCACCCCCGCGCCCCGUGCGGCACUUCGUUGCCCGCAGCCAUGGCCACCGACGCCCUUGGCCCCGCCCGCCGACGCAUCUUCGCCGCCCCUGAGCCCCGCACAGCACCGCGCCGCCAAUCCCGUCGCCCAUGACGAACGCCGAUGUCUGCCCUGCACCGAACCGCCUCCAUCGUCCCCACACGUCUUCUUCCACCCGUCAGCCCCCUCCUCCUCAUGUUCCUCCCCCUUGGGCCGCUGCUGCCCCGGGCACUUCCGAUGUCCGUCGUCCGCGCAUCGGGCACCUGGACCUGCUGAUGCUGCACCCCGUAUCGGCUUGGGCCGCCGCCCCGGUCUCCCCGUCGUCGGCCGCCGCGCCCGCGCACCGCGCCGCCAGCUUCCCCGUACCGAGUCUCCACAAUCCCACCUUCGGCAGACAUCCGCACCUCGGGCCGCUGCUGCCCAGCGCACGGCACUGCCAACCGCCGGCGGCGACCGCCCAGCGUCAAGGCUCACCGACGUCGCCGAUCUGGCCGACGCCAAAUUGCUCUGUCCAUCUCAUGGAGAAGAAAGGGGCUCGUGGAGAAGAAGGAAGAAAAAAAAGGAAAAGAAAAAGAAAAGUCCAGUCACUGAAAAGUGGGUCUCAUAUGUCAUGCUGAAGCUGCUCAACUCCCUCCGGCCCGGGCCGAAAACUUUUAUCGGGACGAUUUUGUGGAACCUGGUCGGUCAUUUUUUCCUCGCUCAAACAAUAUAUACUAAAAUCUGUGACAAAUAAUAUGAGUCAGAGGGAGUACAGAAUUCACGGACGCCAGCCAGCAAAACUUCAUUAUAUGGGAGUGUUUACACAACGCCGGGGAGAUUCUACAAAAGCAACUCUUCCCCAAAACGGCGGCCACAAGAGGUAUAUAUAACAGAAAGAUUAGGUCAAAACAAAUCCGUAUGACCUGGAGCUCACGUUGUCUCGGGGACCUCGCGCUUCAACUGGAGAUUGCCCUCAACAUCAUUGCCAAUCUGGAUCGUGCUAUGGAUCAUCGCCCUCUUACGGCCGAUGACCUGCGUAAGGAUCUCAAGGCCCGCGUACUUGGGCUGGCGGCCAUUGAUCGGGUCAAGUGGAGACAGCGUUUCCGAAUCUGCUGGCUGCGAAUGGGUGACGCUAACACCAAGUUUUCCAUCUGAAAGCUAGUGCUCCCCGGCGUAGGAAUUUCAUCCGAUUUCUCAACACUGAUUCAGGAAUCUGCACCUUGCACGCUGACAAGGCCACGGCAAUUCGCGAACACUUCGUCAAUGCACUAGGCACGCCCUCUGCUUUUCCUCACUCGAUCAACUGGGAGCUCCUCGGCCUCUCUCGCCUUGAUCUUGCUGCGCUCGACGCCCCUUCACCUUGGAGGAGAUUCAUUCUGCCAUUCAAGCUCUGCCUUCCGACAAAGGUCCGGACCCAAUGGAUUUCCAGGUCUUUUUUUCAAAUCAUGUUGGGACACUAUUAAAGAUUCCAUCUUCCUUGCUGUCCAGUCCUUUGCCAAUUCUGCCGGUGCUAAUUUCGGUUGCCUGAACUCUGCCUGUAUCACUCUUCUGCCUAAGAAGGCUGUCCCAACAUGCAUGGGGGAC